CAAAGUCCAUGUAAACCAUUCUUGGCAAAGCCAAUCCUUGAAUAUCCUCUUGUAGCUGUUGAGCAGGUCCUGCUGGCGGCACACUAAAAAUUUGCAUGCCAACAUUCUGGUUUGAAGAAAGACAAAGCAUCAGCUAGCCGAUUCGCUUCCCUAUGCACAUUCUGAAUUGAAGUCAGCAAAGCCAAACCAUUCUUCCAAGUUGUAAAAACUCCUGAUUCAAACACAAAAACAUCCCACUAAACCAUUAAAAGAUUCUAUUCCAACGUCAAAUAGAUUUCGACUUACUUGACCGCAAUAACAAGUAGCAAUUAGUCAAGCAGUGGUUUCUUGGCCAGCUUCAGUCAGCCUUCUCUUUUUCUUAGAGAAGCACAAGCAAUUACUGAGAUUUAUAAAUAUAGACACGAACCAUAAAUGAAAAUUAGGGGUUGGAGUAUUAACAGUUCAUUCACUAUUUGCACAAUGUCCUUGAGAAGGAUUUGCCAAGUUCAAAAUGUCGUAGAUCUUAACAUAAGUCGUUGCUUGUUUCUUCUUGCCUUCUUGUGGUCACAAAAGACAUUUUCCUGGAUAUGCAAAGUAAGAAGAAAAUCGGAGUUUGCUGCUUUGUAGCCAAGGAGGAGUGUUUAAAAGGUGGCAACGACAGCAGCAAAGUUUAAGAAUCCAUGCAAAAACCCACGUUGCAUGCAAGAAUCCAUGCAAAACCUACGUUGCAUGCACGAAACCAGAAGCUCGGCUGAAGCAUGUUAAAAUCCAUGGUGCAAUUCGACAAGCCUUGUUUAUUUAGUUGACUUUUGUUAGUCUAUGGUGUAAUCAUUAUUUGCUUUGAUCAGCUAAGGUUAAAAUGUGUGCUUAGCUGAUUUAGUAGUCAAAUUAGGUUGUCAUUUUGUUGAUGUAAACCUUUGGUUACUUGCACAAGCAAGCUUUGUUUUCUUUCUAUGUAGUUUUUGUUCUAUUUAUGUAUGUAACCAUGCACUUAUUCGGGUAAUGAGAAAAACACUUUGCUCAUUCAACUUUCUGCUUGUUCUUGCUACUGUUUUAAUCUUUCAAACAUCUAAAACAUUCAUCUAAGUUGUUUUUAAACUUUGUUUGCUAAGUUAAAAACCAACACACCCAAAUCAUAGUAUAUCUCGUUGCCUACAAAACAUAAAGGUAACCAAUACAAGUAAAAAGGCUAAGGUUUUAUAAAACCAUUAAGUUUGUUAUACUGACGGUUUAAGUAUGUCCAGAACAAAUUGUCCAAAUCACAAGAAAGACUUGUAUAAUUUGGCACGGGAAAGUCCAAAUAAAGAAAAUGAUGCCAAAACUUAACAUAUCAAAUUUAUAUCCUUUAUUUGGUGAGUCUGCCUCAUGAUAACCCUGUAAAAUGUAAACAGCAAUUGCAUAGAAUUAAAAAUUGACAACUUUCCUACUCAGGAUUUUUUGUGUCACUGUUCGUCUGAUAUUUCUUGUUUUGAUUUGGUCUCUUAUGAACAAGUGGGAAUCAAUCAAACAGUGUUGAAAUGACAGUAUGAAGUUUAAAUGCUUAUACUAUCUAGUAGUAGCUCUCUUAUAGUUAUACUGAAUUUUUUAAACUGGAACAUAAAACUUGAAUGCACAGUAUGAUCUACAAUGCAUGAUUGCAUAUUCAAGUCGAAUAAAGGUCAUAAAUUUGCUCUGUAAAACUCAAAAUUCAGUCCUUACCAUCUCUUGUUUUGUUUGUUGCGGUUUCAAUAUUAGUUUCACUAGUAUCUCUCCCACACAUGCCAAGGUUAAAUUUACCUCCUUUGCUGGUUCCUCUUGAUCGAUCACCCACAUUUGAAAUAUAUAGAUGCAUAACAAAGUAAAAGAAAGAACAGAACACGAGAUGAAAUAAAAAUUAGUAUAUAUCCAUCACUCGAAGAUUGUUUCUCGAUGAACUUACCCCGUUGUCCAUAUAAACUCAAUAACACCAAGACACAUUACCAACAAAGUAAAGUUAUGCCUCAACUACUCUUUAUUAACCUGAUGACAAGGUUGUUAUACUAAGUUACAAACUUAUUGUUCAAUCAUUUAACAUGGUAUCACAAAAGGGUCUACCGUUCCUUUUGCCAUAUAAUCCCUAGUUCUUACCUCAGGGUUGUUGUGAAUCUCGGCUCCUUUCCCAGUGUCUGGGGGCAGAGGAAGGUAGAGAAUUAACUGUUCAUCCUCUUUUUGCACAAGAUCUCCUUGAAUACUAAGAGGAUUUGUUAGCUUUUGGUUGGUAAUAAGCCGUAGCAUUUCAAGACAAGAAUUCAAAACGUUGUUUAGCAUUUUUGUGACUCUGCCGAAAACCUUUUCCUCUUUUACUAAUUGUUGCAUUUGGUCCACAAUGGCCUCUUUCUGCGUUGCCGGAAUAGGAAAUGAACAAUGAUAUAUCAAAGUUAAUUCUAUUGAUCUAAAAUGUCUAAAUCCACCAUAGCUAAGUCCAAACCCAAGCAAAGGUUGCGCCCAAGCAAAUGAUGUGAACAUGUUGCCAGACAAAUCACAAUAGGUGAGCACUUUUGAGCCUCUAAAUUGGUUAGAUCAGAGCUCGAAAAGGUAUCUCAAAACCCACAUGACAAGCUCUCUUUGUCCAAAAAUAGCUCGAAAGAUUGCCAAUCAAAGUUCGUCUGGAAAGGUAUAAAUAACCCAACCUAAGUACACCCCCUUAACCCAAUGUUACUAUGAUGAGUUUUCUCCAAACCCUUUCUCAUCCAUAUAUCGAUAUAAGCAUUCGGGAACUGUAUUUUUAGGCAUUUCUCAAUUAGACUCCAAAAAAUCAAUAAAUGCCAUUAAUGAACACGUACACUUAAAAAAUUAAUAUCGAACCGAAUUUGUUUAGUUAAUUUGAUCAGUUAAUCAAAAUUUAUAUGUUUUUGUCUUUUAAUCAAAACAAGUAUAAAACAUAUAAAAAAAUAUAUUGAUAAUGUCCAUUGGUCUUGAAAGUUAAUUGACUUAAUCGGAAUUUUAAGUCUUGAAACACUACAUAAUUAUUAAAUUCGGUUAAUUAGCUGAUUUCGAAUCAAUUUAAUCGAAACCAAAAUUUCAAAAAAACAUUAACCGACUUUCGACCAAAUUAAAUUUGACCAUCAAUUGAUUAACCAAAUUAAUUCGAUUUUAAUCAAAGUUUCAACCCUAAUAAUCUCCGCCUCACUUCAAUGAAAUCCACCCAAGAGGCCUAUCCUGCUAAAACUCAUCUUUCUAAUGAGAGUAACUUCGUUAUAUAUCAUCUGUCACUUACGAUUAUACAUUAAAAAUUGGUUGGACUUUCAAUAAUAACUUAUUUAACGAGUUUAUAAUGGAUUUUUCACUGGAAAAUGUACUGCAAUAGUUGCUGGUGUACAUUUGUUUUUUUUUAUUUUGGUACUACUUUCUUUUGGAGCCAUAACUACACGAGUAACAACUUAAUAUCACAUACAUUAAAAAAACCAUUACUUAUGAAAAUUAUGCCAAUUCAACAAACGUCAAUUACGGUCUUUCGCGUAGAAGCUCGGGUUAUUCUUGAAGGUUUACGUAUUGCAUGGGAAAAAGGUUACAACAGUUGGAGAUUGAAUGCGACAAUACACUACUUGUAGAGUCCGUUCUUAUGGGUAGUGCUGCCAGUAGUAAUCUAGUUGAAUUACGUUUAAUCAAUGUUUACCUUAAGAGGAAUUGGAAUACAAAAAUCUGUCACAUUCCUAGAUCUCAGAAUAUGCCUACUGAUCGAAUAGCGAAAUGUACUUAUAAGAAUCUUUGUUUAAUUGAUUACCAUUGAAUACUUUAUCAGUUUUAAACAAAUUAUUCUUCGCAUCAACAAACCUUUUUCAAUAUAAAGUAAUUUUAAAAAUAAUGAUUAUAGAAUAAAGAUUUAUAUUUUUAUAAAAUUUUUGAAAUAAUUAUAUAUAUUUUUAAUUUUCAAAACAAAAAUUGUUUAAAAGAACAUUAUAUUUCUUUUCUUUUCUUUUUUAAACUACGUUGCUAAAAGAUUGUCCGACUCUCGUGAUUGAUUGAUAUAUAUAUAUAUAUACUUGUCGCAAAUUUAAGUAUUAAUUUUGCAUCGUAUAGGUAAAUAAAUAAAAUCUGUUUUUUUUUUAUCAAAUUAUUGUUUUGGUUAUUAUAUUCAAAUUUGAAGUUUAAUUUUUUUAAUUUGACAUAAAUUAACAUAUUUUUAUGUUGAAAUGAAAACUCUUUAAAGUAGUAUCUUCGACUCAUUAUGCUGGUAUGGUUUUGUUUUAUUUUAAAUGAGAAAUUAAUAUAAAAUAGACUUGUUUAUUGGCUGGACACUCGAUCCACCCAAAAAGUGGGAGGAUUUGGAAAAAAAUAUAAGCCUGAAAAAUGAGCUGAGGCAAAAAAAAAAAAAGUCCAUUUUAAUAACAGGUUGGGCAUUGGGUAAAGUUUUUUUGGACUGAACCCAACUUGACUCAAAUUAGCCAAAAGACAAAGAAAAAAAUGCUAUUUUCUUGUUGUUUUAUCACUAUUUUGCUAUCAUUUCACUAUUAUGUUAUUACUAUUUUUUUUGUUAUUUUUUAGAUAUUGUAUAACUCUUGUUUUAUAUUUAAAUUUGUUAUUACUUUAGAGACAUUUGCUUGUUAAGUUGCACUUAUCUUAACGCUAUUUAAGUAUAAAUAUUUUUUAAAAAAAUUUAUUUUCAAUUUUUUAGGAAACAUUUAUUUUAAUAUUUUUUAGUGUAUCUAGUGUAUUAUAUUUUUAAAGUUUUAUAUAAGAAAAAUUUUAAAAAUAAAAAGGGCAGAUCUGGACCGGACCUAAAUUGUAACAUUUUUAUCUAGGCCGAACUUAGGUAAAAAUUUAAACCCAUUUUUCGGGUCAGGCCAAACUCAAACAUAUCAAUCAAACCUAAAAUUUUGUUAGUGAAUACCCAACCAAUCAACAAAUCUAGUGUAAUCCCAUAGUGUUGACUACUUUUAUUGCCCUGAAAUUGGUUAGCCCAUGAAUUUAUUAUGUUGAAGCCCCUCUUUAAUUGAAAAUUUGAGGUUGAUAAAUCAUUAUUUAAUGUCUGAAUUUGAUAAUAAUUUUUUGUGUGGUACAACUUUGACCUUUACCUUCCUUAUUACUACCUCUGUUUACCACCAAUUUUUGGUCGCAACAUUAAGAAAAAACUCUAUUCAAAUAAUGAGCACCAAAUGGACCGUUUUCUAGUACCACUAUUUUUCACACCAAAUACGUUGGAAUUAUUCUCCUUCUCUUGUGUCCCUCUCAAUUCUCAUUUUCAAAUUUACUUUAGUGUACAAUAUACGUGAAUAUUUAAUAAUAAUAAUAUAGAUUAUAUGGAUCAAUUUUUAAUAAUAAUAAUGGAUGAAUUUUUUUAAUAAAAGAAUUAAUUUAUUCUUUGAUUUUAUCUACAAUGACUAAUUUAUUUAUUUUUUAAGUAAAAAGAAAAAUAUAGUCUAACUUAUAAUAUAAAAACCUUCAUGAUACUUGUUGAUAUUAGGUUGAAGAUGAUCUUUACGUGUUGUUUAUAUUACGUGUUGUGUUGACUAUAACGAAGAAGUUAAUUAAUACAUAUUGUAUUUGUCAAGCAAAAUUAAUAAUAUAAAAUAAGUAUCCCAAGUUGGUAGAUUUGAGAAAAAGGAACAUGGUCGACAUGAAUUUCUUCGGUGGAAGGAUUGACCCACCAUAGAUUGGGAACUGCCACUUGACUGCUACUAAUAUCUGCUUUUUCAUCCAUAUAUGUGUAUAUAUAUAUAUAUGCUGGAACCUUGUUAUUACAUAAAAAUACAGGACGACUUCAUUUUCUUCUUCAAUGGCAGUGUCAGAAAUCUCGCGAUGUAGUUAUCAUGUAUUCUUGAGUUUUAGAGGUGAAGAUACGCGCAGAAGUUUCACGGAUCAUCUUCACACAGCUUUGAUGCACUUAGGAAUUCAAACAUUUAGAGAUGAUGAGGAAAUCGAGAGAGGGAAUAACAUAAAAGAUGAAAUUGAAAAAGCAAUACUACACCACUCCAAAAUUUCUAUCGUUGUUUUCUCAAAGAAUUAUGCUGUAUCCACAUGGUGUCUUAACGAACUUGUAAUGAUAUUGGAGCACAAGAAAUCCUCUAAACACAUUGUGUUGCCAGUUUUCUAUGAUGUGGAUCCGAGUCAAGUCAAGAACCAGACGGGAAGUUAUGCAGAAGCAUUUACCCAACAUGAACAAAACUUCAAGUCCAUGGUACAAAGAUGGAGGAAUGCUUUAAAAGAAGUUGCAGAUAUAGGAGGCAUGGUUCUACAAGACAGGUAUGUUAUACACAUAAUCAAGUUCCAUAUGGUUACUUCAAUCCUUUUCAUUAAGACUUGAUAGAUAGAGUAGAAAGAAAAUUAAUAGAAAAUAUUGUUAGGUAACGUUUGGAGAUUAAAAUGGCUACUUCAAUCCAUUUUAAAGGGUUAAAUAUAACUCAGAUUUUAAAUUAUUUCUCAAACACUAACAUGUUUUAAUUGAGUCAUUAAAAUAUUAGUAUUGUAUCAAUAAGGUCUUUUUAUCAAACAAGUAAUCAGUUUAAGCAUUAAAUGUAAAUAACAUGAAUUUAUUAAACUUUCACAAAGAGAAAGUUGAAAUUUGAGUAUAGGUUGUUUCUUAAAUGAAUUUCAUUAAUUUUUAUGUUGCUUUAUUUGAUUUGAUUUGAUUUUGAAUGUAAUAAUUCUAUCAUAUAUGUUGAAAUGUUACAUUAGUUGCUUAUUUUUAUUAGAACAUAUAAUCUCAUAAAGACAAUUAAAAUAUAUGCAAGAAAAGAGAAAAUACAUUAAUAACUUUUACUUAAUUUUCAAGAUUUUAGCAUUGAGUUGUAUUUUUUAAAUUUGCAGGCAUGAAUCACAAUUUAUUCAAGAUAUUGUUAAAGAAGUUCAAAAUAAACUUCAUCCUAUUUCUUUGUAUGUCCCUCCUUAUUUAGUUGGAAUAGAUUCUAUCGUGACACAAAUUAAUCAAUGGUUAGAACAAGAUGGAGCAAAUAAAGUUGGCAUUGCAACUAUUUGUGGCAUUGGAGGCAUUGGGAAGACAACCAUUGCCAAAGUUGUUUACAAUCAAAACAUCUCGAGGUUUGAAAGUUUUAGCUUCCUUGCUCAAGUUAGAGAAACAAGUCAAGAUUGUAAUGGCUUAGUUCGUUUGCAAAGACAACUUAUUUCAGAUCUCCUUAAAGGAAAAUCGCAUAAAAUAUACAAUAUAGAUAAUGGAAUUAACAAGAUCAAAGAAAUUGUAUGUUGUAGAAGAGUUCUUCUUGUUCUUGAUGAUGUUGAUGAAUUGGAAAAAAUAAGAAAAUUAAUGGGAACUCAAAUUCCUUUUCAUCCGGGAAGUAAAAUCAUCAUAACUAGUAGAAACCGAUGCCUAUUGAAUGCACAUUUUAUAAGCCAAAUGUUUGAUUUGGAAGCAUCAACUAGCUGUGGAGGCUUAAGCAAGCUAUUUGAAGUAAAAGAAUUAGCUUCAAGUGAAUCGCUACAACUUUUUAAUUNNNNNNNNNNNNNNNNNNNNNNNNNNNNNNNNNNNNNNNNNNNNNNNNNNNNNNNNNNNNNNNNNNNNNNNNNNNNNNNNNNNNNNNNNNNNNNNNNNNNGGGCUCUUCAUUAUCUAGCAAAAGUGUGAGUUCUUGGAAAAGUGCAUUGGAGAAAUUAGAAGAAAUCCCUGACAGCAAAAUUCAAAAGAUUCUAAGAAUAAGCUAUGAUUCUUUGGAAGACGAUCAUGACAAAAAUUUAUUCCUUGACAUAGUUUGUUUAUUCAUUGGGAAGGAUAGAGAUUACACGACUACAAUUCUAGAUAGUUGUGAUUUCUAUACAACAAUUGGAAUUGAAAAUCUAGUAGGCAGGUCUCUUUUAAUCAUUAAUGAAAAAAACAAGCUAAUGAUGCACCAAAUGAUUAGAGAUAUGGGACGAGAAAUUAUUCGUCAAGAAUCUUCUGAUAUUGAGAAACGAAGCAGAGUGUGGCAUAAGAACGCAUUUGAUGUAAUAAGAGAAAAAAUUGUAAGAAACAUCAUUUUACUCAACUUUUUUCUUGUAUGCAUGUAAACUACUUUUUUUUUUUAUCAAAUUUCUUUUUAUUUUUUAAAAAAGGUUUUCUGAUGCAGGGUUCCAAAACAGUUAAGUGCCUCACACUUGACCUAAAAGGAUUGCUAGAAGACAAGGCUAAAAGGACAAAUACAACUCUACACUUUCCAAAGCAUUCCAAAAGUCAGUUUCUCAUGGCAAAUGAUGUUGAUAUGGAAACUCAAGCAUUUGCAAAGAUGAAGAGACUUAAACUGCUUCAACUGGAUUAUGUAAAACUUAAAGGAGACUUCAAAGACUUUCCCAAAAGAUUAAGAUGGUUACGUUGGCAUGGGUUUUGUAUGCAAUCUUUUCCGGUGGAUUUCGAUAUCAAUGAACUAGUUGUUCUCGACAUGCGCAACAGUAAACUUAAACAAGUUUGGAAGGAUACAGAGGUAUGAUAUAUACUAAUUUUCCUUCUUUUUGUGUGUAUGUGUGUAACAAUAAUAUAUAAAUGAAGGGUUUUCUUUUUUUGCAGUGCCUCCCAAAUUUAAAGAUCCUUAAUCUCAACCAUUCACAUAGCCUUCUUAAAACCCCAAGCUUUUCAGGACUCCCUAGCCUUGAGAAGUUGAUGCUCAAAGAUUGCAUAAAUUUGGUAGAAGUUGAUCAAUCCAUUGGUGAGCUAAAGAUGCUUACUUUCUUGAACCUAAAAGAUUGCACAAGUCUUAGGAAACUUCCAAGGACAAUUGGUUCAUUAAUAUCACUUGCAGAGCUUAUUUUAUCUGGUUGUUCAAGACUUGAUGAUGUCCCCAGGGAGUUGCAUAAUAUGAAAUCAUUGAAGGUGCUUAAUUUAGAUGAAACUUCCAUAUGUCAAACAAGAUUGGGAUUACAUUGGCUCUUACCGAAAAGAAGUAAAGAAUUGGGUUUCUCUUGGGCAUCUCUACCGUGCUCUUUGGUAAAAUUAAGCCUUGAAAGUUGCAAAUUAUCUGAUGAUGUCAUGCCCAAUGAUCUUUAUAACUUAGCUUCAUUGAAAUCCUUAAAUUUUAGUAGAAACCCAAUUCAUUGCCAUCCCGAAAGCAUAAAAAAACUUACAAAACUUGAUGAACUUCUAUUGACUUCUUGCACUGAACUCCAAAUAAUUCCAAAGCUUCCAGUCUUGCCCAAUGUUUUUGAGUUCUUGACAAUAUCUCCAUUUAAAGGAUAUUGGGCAAUUCUUCCAUGCUUCUUUUCUUCCACACGAUGUGUUAUUUUUGGAUGUGAAAAAUUGACUGAAGUUGAAGAUCUAUUCAAGUUGGGACCAAUUGAAAACUUUGAAGAAGAAGAGAUUAGAAGAUUAUUCAACCUGGAUUCCAUUAGCAGAAAUCGACUGCAACUUUAUAGCUACCUAACAGACAGCAUAAUGCUUGCUACCCCACAGGUUCUCCAACUUAAAUUUUAACUUUAUUUUUUUCUCUUACAUUACUUAAUGAACACAUUCGUAAUCAUCUAACAUGUUUUUUUUGGAUCAGGUCUUGCAGGAAUGUGGUAUAACAAGUACUUUUGUUGUGGGAAGUGAAGUUCCUAUUGUGUUUAAGCAUCGCACUAACGAGCACCGAAUCUCUUUUUCUUUGCCAACACCAUCUCAUCCAGAUGAAAAGAUCCAUCGGUUCAGCUUAUGCAUUGUUUUCUCUUUAGCUAGUGAUCAAAUAUUGGAGUUUCUACCAAGUGUCCACAUUUUCAAUGAGACCAAAAGGAUCAUGCAGAGAUAUCGCUCAAGUUUCAUCGGAAUUCCUGAGACUAACGAUAACACAAUGUUGUGGUUGAUCCAUUGGCCAGUAACGGAUUGUGAGUUUGAAGGUGGUGACCUUGUGAGUUGCAUGGUAGUGCCUGUUCAUCUCAGCAUAAGAAAAUUUGACGUUACUUAUGAAUCACAACACAAAGUUAGAUAUAAAUAUGGCUUUUCCCACGUAUCUACAGGUAUGACUAUGACUUCAAAUGAUUAUGUUUAUGGAAUAUUAACCCAUGCACUAUUAACACUUACUAAACUAAAGAUAUAUCCUUAUUGAAAUAAUAAUUUUUUUGACAAAGGAAAUAAUAAAUUAUAUGAAUAUUUAAUGUGUUUUCAGUGACAAGAUUAUAUAUUAGUGAAUACAUCCUAUUAUUUUUUUAAUGUUUCCUUUUAGAUGUCAAUAACAAAUGUUUAAGAAAUGAUAAAUGUUGCAAUUGGGAUCUAAUUAAAAUAAUUUAAUUGUUUGAUAAAUGAUUAAUUUACAAGUCUUAUAACACAUUUUAACAUUUUAGUGAUAAUAAUAUUAGUUUUUAAUUUUUUUUCAUAUAAUAUUAAGAGGAAGGAAUGGGGUCACACGGUUUGAAUCUGUGUCAAAUAGGUGUCUGACAAAAGAUUUAACCAUCAGUGUAUUCAAGUUAAGACUACUAUUUUAAUAUUCUAAUAGGCAUACUACAAUUGAUAAAUAACACAUUAUUGUACAUAUUUUAGGAAAUGAAGUUACCACAAGAAAUAUGAUGAUGGACCUGACUAAAGACUUACCCAGUUUGGAAUCUUAUGGAAAUGUUAAAGUGCAACUUUGCAAUUUUAUAGAAGAAUCAAAAGUGGUUGCUUCCCCACAGGUUCCCUUUACAAGUUUCAACUUUUAAAAAAUAUUUAUAUAAUAUUUUUUAAAAUUUUAUUCUAUAACCCAAUGCUACAGGUAUUAUACGAUUACGGCAUAAUUACAACAUUUGAUACAUUUCCAUUUGAUUACAUUGGCCACUACCAUGGCCUUCAAGCUGGCAAGACUGAGGUUUCAAUAUCAGUGCCCCCAAACUCUAGUCGAAAGAUAAGUUGCUUCUUAAAUUCGAUUAUCAUUUUUUCUGCCAAGAAUGAUAAAACAUAUGGAUUUUUACCAUGCCUUGAAAUUGUGAACGAGACCAAAGGUACAAAGUGGACCUACUCCAAACAUUUCAUGGGAAUUCCUGAAACCAAGAAUACCUUAUACUGGACGACUUGUUGGAACUUUAGGGGUGAUGAACUAGAAGCUGGUGAUCAUAUUAGUCUUCGGGUUCUUUCAAAUUUAUCUGUACUAGAAUUUGGGAUUGACCUUGUAUAUGAUUAUGAGCUAGAUGACAACUCAAAUUUUUUCAGUCAGUUGCCAUGGAUGAGUAAAUGUUUUAAGUAUCUUUUCGGGACUUUUGUUCUUAUUUCGUCAAAAGCCCAAAAAAACUUGUAUAGGUUGCAAAGUUUAGUCAAAUGCUGAUUAUCGUAGGAUUGAAAUGGAGCAAAUGAAUAUUUUGGUUUAGUCAUUGCCGCCUUGGCUUGGCUGAUUUCAUCUUAUAUUUAAUCUCUUAUUCUUUUAUGUAUGCUAUCGAUAUUGAUUUUUGCUCAAGUUCUUCAAUGAAGCACCUUGUUCUUGGUAAUUCAAUUAACUUGUGCUUUUAAUCAGAUGUCGGAGUUAUUUUAGUAGACUUAAUUGAUUUUGUAUAUAUGGAAGUAAAGUAAAUGUGAGCUUAGCUCGCUUUCAGGGAAGAGUAGUGUACCAAAAGAAAGUUGAAAAUGGUAAGCUAGGAGGUGAUGAUCGUAGAGAUGAAAUAUUAGAAGGAGAAAACGAGAAAAAGCAUUCUUGGGAGAUGAUUUGAUUACCAUUUGUGGAACACUAAUUCCUAUAACUACGUGGGCUUGUUCAUAAGACUUCUCUUAGAAUCUCGAACAAAUAUCAGUUGAUUGUUCUGGUUUAAAUAUUUAAUUUUUAAGAGAAUAUAUUAUUACUUUAUUCUACCCUCUCGAAGAUUUAUAUCAAGUCCAAACUGUUGCGAGUUGAUAGCCAUGAUGGAAAUCAAUUUUGAGCAAUUUUUUGAAGGAGCUGAAAUAAAAUUGUAUAUUUUUAUAAUAGUAAAAGUAAAAUUUCACCAUUUUAAUAGUCUAUAUAUUUAUAAUUUUUAAAAAAUUAAAUCAAAAUUUUCUCAUUCUUUUACUUGAACUGUUUCACUCAACAUAAUAAAUUCGUGCGCUAAUCGAUUUCACGGCAUUUAAAGUAGUGAAGACGAUGGGAUAAGGCUAAUGUUGAUAUGGGAUCUGAAAAAGCAGGUAAGAGUAGUAGACUAUGAAAAGUCAUAAUAUAUUAUAAACAUUUCUUACGUUACAUUUCAACCACCUCUUUAAUUCCACCAGAAUCCGGUACUACUCGCUCUUGAGUGCUAACACUCUCCUCGUUACGGCCCUCCAACUUUUUCCUCCACAAUAUUUUAAGAAAAACUCAAUUCAAAUAAUAUUUUUAUAUUUGAGGUUUAUGAUUAUUUCUCUUAAUAAUGUUGUCUUUAAAAUUCAGAUAUCUAUUUCUCUUGAAAAUACAAUACCUUAAUUAUUCAAAUAAUAGUCUUAACAGAAAGAUUAAGCACCAAAUAUUCUAUAAAUACUAACAAGCUAAUGGUCUAAAGUCUAGAUUGAGUAGCACUAUUAUCCAAAUUCCGAAACAUAGUGCAACAAAUCAAUUCUUUCCCGGCGACCAAAUGACGUUUAUUAUAUAUAUAGAACUCUACAACCUAGUGCUACUAAUUAUCAAUUUUAUUGUUGUGACUCCAUAAACUAAAAUUUAGUUGAUCCCUUGACUCAAGAGUGUAAUUAUUCGAAUAGGGAUUAUAUCUCUUUUACAGUGGUACACUAAUUCGUCUUAUUAUAUGGGUUUAUUUAUAAGAGUUCUCUUAAAUAUUUAUGUCAAAUCCAAAUUGUUGUGAAUUCUUUUAACAUUUCAAGGAGUUUUGUCCAUAAGUAAAAGUCUUUGGUAAAAGUAUUAGAUAAUAAGUAAUUGAUAAAAAAUUUCAUUCUAAAGGCAACUAGCAAAGAGCUGUUUAAUAUUUUUCAACAUUCAUGAAGGGUUUUUAUGUACUUUUAUUGAAUGGAAUAGAAUUUUUUUUUCCUAAUAAAUGAACCACGAGAAGCAAAAUGUUUUCCAAGGAAUAUUCUUACCAUAUCUAUUUAAUAUGUAAUUCGCAACUUGUUCUUGAAAGGAAAACCAUAAUAAUUUUCCUAGAAUCUCUAUUUGGAAACUUGGAAGUCUUUUAAAUCAACCGAAUCAUCUUACUCGAAUACUUUAUCAACUUUAUACAAAUUAUUCUUUGCAUCACUAAAUAUUGUUCAUGACCUUGCACCCACUUUCAUGCAGAAUUAUUUCUCCCAUGCAGGGAAUGGUCUCCAUGAAUUAUUGCCAUAUUUCCAUUUAGGAUUAGUAAAUUUCAAUAACUUUUUUGGUGGACGUGAUAUCUAUUUUGAUGAUAUGACAUGGUUUGUUUUGAUCCAAAAAAGACGAUGAAUGACAUGAAAUUGAACUAUGAUUUUAAAGAAGGGACUUGAGUUUAUAUAUGAUUAUAUAGGCGGUAAUUCAAUUUUCCUUUCCUUGUUGGAAAAGGAAUUCCAUUUUGACUUUAAUUGUAAUUUUUAAGUUGUUGUUUUCUUAUUGUUAAUUAUUUAAAAAAUAAUCGCAUUUUAACUUGCAAACUUAAAUAUUAAACUAUUAUCUUUAUGUUUACUUUUUAAUGAUAAUUAACAAAAAUAUUUGGUUUUAAAAUUUUAAUACAAUCAAUGAAACACAAUUCACACACAUGAAUAAUAAAAUUUGACGUGAUUAAAUAAAUAUUGAAUUUUGUUAUAUUUUUAAUAAUAAAUAUAGGUAAAAUGGUAAUAAAUUGGGAUUUUAAUGUCAUUUAAAACGUGUCAAAUAAAUAUUAGAUUAGAUAUUCAAUAUUAAAAAUUAAUAUAUAUUAAUUGAAUUAUAAACGAGUUUAGAAAUUCAAAAUUGUAAAAAUUAAUAUAUAUUGAAUUAAAUGACUACCAUACAUAAUCUUAUUCGAAUAAUAAUAAUGAAAAAUAAAACUGAGUAUUUAAGACAAUUUCGUUGUAUUUGUUUGUUCUAUGAUCCAACUAUGGUAGGUAAGCGUGAUGUAGGUUCAUCGUACUCCCAUCCAGUGGCUUUAAUUUGCUCUAAUGGAAUCGAAAACGAAUCAAUCCUUUUAACAUCGGAAAUCGACUUUAUUUUCAAAAAAAGUUUUGGGUCGAUUUUGGAGUUCCAAUCAAUAUCAUCGAUAUACAUAUCUGCUGCAUUACUUGGCAACUUAUUUGUGCAAGGAAAACGAUGAUAAUAUUCCCAGAAUCUCUGUUUGGCUUUCUGGAAAGCUUUUAAACCAGUUGAAUCAUCCCAUUCGAAUACUUUAUCGGUUUUGAACAAAUUAUUCUUUGAUUCAACAAAUUUUUUCCAUGGCAUUGCACCCACUUUUAUGCAGAAUUUUUUCUCCCAUGCAAAUAAUGGUUCACAUGAAUUACCGUUAUCAUUCAGUUUGGGUCGAGUAAAUUUCAGACUGUAGUACCUUUCUCGACGAUUAUGAUAUCUUCUUUGAUAAUAUGACAUGAUUUCUUGUAAUCCAAACAAAUAAAUGAAUUGAAAUCGCUAAUGAUAUCAAUUUACAGUGAGGAGACUCGUUGGGUUUAUAUAAUAUUAUUAGAGUCAGUGGUGACUCAAUCCUUUUCCUUGUUGGAAAAGGAAUUCCAAUUUCAGUUUGAUUAUGAUUUCUAUUUUCUAAAUAUUUGUAUAAUAAAAUUAUUAAAAAAAAUAACUAUAUCUGUAUUGAUAAUAUUUUCUUAUUAAAUGGGUUUUAUGAGUUAAAUAACAAUCAAACCAAGACUGGGAGACUGAACUGCAUCAGGUCUUAGGGGUGAUCCAUCGCUUCAACCACUAUCCACCAUCUACAUCCUUCCCCUGUAUAAACUCUGUUAAAUAUAUACAGAGAGAGAGAGAGACAAACAAAUUAUAACGAUAGUAAAAAAAAUCAAAACUAAAAUAUAAGCAUUUUUCUUAUAAGGUGAAAAGAAAUAAUGGACUUGAGUACUUGAAAGAACUAACCGACCUAAGUUUAUAAAUUAUUAUUUAGUACAAUGAUUCGAACUCAAUUGCUUUUAAGAAAAAUUAACACUCGACCAAUAUAUUACAAUAUGAGUUGUUAUUAUGAUUUAAUGUAACAUUCAAUCAAUAAAAGAUAACCAAUUCCUGAACGCUACCUAACAAUAUUUUCUUUGCCAAAUACUUUAUCAGUCUUAAACAAAUUAUUCUUUGCAUCAACAAAUCUUUUUCAUUUAUCAGUCUUAAACAAAUUAUUCUUCGCAUCAACAAUUUUUUUCCAUGACAUUGCACCCACUUUGAUGCAUAUUUUUUUCUCCCUUGCGGGUAAUAAUUUCCAUAAAUUACUGUCUUUAGGUUUGAGAUGAAUAAACUUCUGUAUGCAGUAAUUUUCUUGACGAUUAUAAUACGAGAAAUAUGAAUUUAAAGUGAAGGGACUUUCCUUGUUGUGAAAGGAAUUUCAGUAACUAUUUGUAAAAUAAAAUUAUUAAAAAAUAAUUAUAUCUAUAUUGAUAAUAUUUUUUUAUUAAAUGGGUUUUAUUAGUUAAAUAACUUUAUUAAUUAGUUGAAUAGCAAUCAAACUCAACUUUAAAAUUUUAAAAGUAAUAUUACUGAAUAAAGAAUUAUAACUUAGUAACAACAUUCUAUUUGAACAUUGCAACAGUAAUUCAGUUUGAAAAUUGCAACAGUAAUUUAGUGAAAUUGACUAAAAAGAUUACUCUAUCUUCUUCCAAGUUGCAUCUUUCAAUCCAACCAAUUGGAAGCAUCAACACCAUAGAAUCAUAUAAGAAAAUCUACAAACUACGGUGCGACACCAUAGAAUCAUAUAAUUAAGAACAUCUACAAACUAUGUAGACACGGCUUCUUCACACAUUAGAUUUACCCUUAUGAAAUAGAAUAGGAGAACCCUCUGACUUGGUCAAUCAUAGCCCCUGUACUGUUCAACUUCCCAAAUCUAAGAAUAGUACCAUCCACGGGACUGACUUGUUAUUUAACAGAACACACUCUUAGCAAUACUUCAGAGUGACAUUAAUGAAAAUAUUAACAUGUCCAACAUGUUCGUAACCAGUUUCCAGACUAUAGGCAUUAGGUUGAGAGGCCUGUAACCUUCUUUCAAUGUGAAAAGUGACUUUUAUUAUACAAGAUGCAUCUUCUUCAAAAGAGAGAGCUGCUACUUCUAGGUCUUAAAUGCAAACCAAAAUACCACAUCAUAAGUUAUUCUUCAUUUUCAGUUGACUGUGCAUUCAUCCCAUCAAUCGAAAAAAGCGAUCUAAAGUUAUUCUUCAUGAUAAACAUACUUGAGUGGAAAGCACAAGCCCAUGCUUUAUGAAAUUUGUUUUCACAAGGAAAACAUGAUAAAUUUUCUAGAAUUUUUAUUUGACUUCCUGAAAAGCUGUUAAACCGGCUAAAUCAUUUCACUUGAACACUUUGUCAUUUUCAUACAAAUUCUUAUUUGUUUCAACAAAUCUUUCCCAUGGCAUUGCACUCCUUUCUAUGUAGAAGUUUUUCUCCCAUGCAAGCAAUGGUUUGGGUUUGGGAUGAGUGGUCCUUUGUUGUGAAAAUAACGAAUAGAAAUAUCAUUUAUAGAAAUGCCAAAUAGAUAUAUCUUUCUAUAAAAUAUAAUGCAUCUUGUAAUAAAAUAUCCUUUCAUAAGGUUAUAUUAUUUUAUAAAAUAAUUUUAUAUAAAAUUAUGUAUUUAUAUAAAAAUUUUAUGUACAUCUACACAACAUUAUUAUUCAUUAAUCAAUAAGUGUAAUAUACAUUUUUUCUAGAUAAUAAAAAGCGACCGCCAAAUGAUUUUAUUUUUUCAAUCGAAUUUUUGUUUUAGUCAUUUUAUUCAAAUUUGAAGUUUAUUUUUUUUAAUUUGAUAUAAAUUAACAUAGUUAAAUAUUCUUGUGCUAAUGUGAAAACUCUUUAAACUAUUAUUUUCGAUUCAUUAUGUUACUAGGGUUUUUUAUUUUAUUUUAAAUGAGAAAUUGAUAUAAAAUCCCAUUAAACUUUAAAAUUGGACUGAUUUUUUAAAAAAGUUAAAUUAUAUGUUUAACUGUGAACAAAAUAUGUUUAGCAAAAUAUGUUUAACAUGCAUUAAAAGGCAUCGUGGUUCAUUGGUUUCUAGAUGCGAACAAAUUAUGUGGCUUUAUAACUUCUGAGAAAAGUUUUGAGUCGAUUUCAAGAUUCCUAUCAAUAUCAUUGAUAUAUAAAUCAACUGCAUUACUUCUUACAAGGAAAGCCAUGAUAAUUUUUCGAGAAUUUUUGUUUGACUGAUUGCCACUGAAUACUUUAUCAGUUUUAAAUAAAUUAUUCUUUGCAUCAACAAACCUUUUUCAAUAUAAAGUAAUUUUAAAAAUAAUGAUUAUAGAGUAAAGAAUUAUUUUUUUUAUAAAUUUUUUGAAAUAAUUAGAUAAACAUAAAGAUGCAUUAUAUAUAUAAUAAAGAUAAAGAUAAAGAUAAACAUGAUUAAUUUUACCUUUAUUUUAAAGUAUAGCUUUUAUUAUCCAUUAAAUUAAAUAUAAAAUUAAUUUUACCUUUACCUUAAAUAUUUAAUUAGAUAAACAGAAAUUAUAGAAGUCCUUUUUGUCAUAGACCUUCAACUUGAUAACAUAUAAUUGUAACAACAAUUCAGUGAAAUUUGACUAAAAAUUGCGAAAUUGACUAAAAAAUGCAUCUAUAGAUACAAAUAAUCUCCAAUUCAACAUUUAUCAUUCAUUAAUUAAUAAGUAUAAUGUACUUGAUUUUUUGUAGAUAAUAAAAAACGUUUGAAAUUAUUUCACAAUAUAAUUUUUGUUUAUUAAGAUUUUAUUUUGUUUUUUCAUCUUUUCAGAUGUCAUAUGAUAUAAUCAUUUUAGCCCUAGCAUAGGUAAAUAAAUAAAAUUUAUUUUUUAUCAAAUUAUUGUUUUAAUAUUUAUAUUUAAAUUUGAAGUUUAAUUUUUCUAAAUUUGACAUAAAUUAACAUAGUUAACUAUUUUUGUGUUGAAAUGAAAACUCUUUAAAGUAGUAUUUUCGAUUCAUUAUGGUUUUUUUUAUUUUAAAUGAGAAAUGAAUAUAAAAUAUACCUAUUCAUUGGUUGGGCCACCCGACCCACCCAAAAAGCACGAGAGUUUGGGCAAAAACAUAAGUCCGAAAAAUGGGCUUAGGCAAAAAAACUAAAAGGGUCUAUUUUAAUAACGGGCUGGGCAUUGAGUAAGGUUUUUUUAGCCCAGACCCAACCCGACCCAAAUUAGCAAAAAGACAAAUAAAAAUUGCUUCUCUUGUGUUUUCUCACUAUUUUGCUAUCAUUUUACUAUUAUGUUAUUACUACUUUUUUUGUUAUUGUUUAGAUAUUGCAUAACUCUUGUUUUAUAUUUAAUUUUGUUAUUAUUUUAGAGAAAUUUGCUUGUUAAGUUGCAGUUAUCUUAAUGCUAUUUAAGUAUAAAGACUUUUUUUUAACUUAUUUUCAAUAUAUUAAGAAAUAUUUAUUUUAAUAUUUUUAGUGUAUUUGGUGUAUUAUAUUUUUUAAAUUUUUAUAAAAAAUAAACUUUAAAAAAGUCAGACCUAGGUUAUAGCAUUUUUAUCUGUGCAGAACUUAAGUAAAAAUUUAAACCUUUUUUUAGAUCAAACCAAACUUGAACAUAUCAAUCGAACAUAAAAUUUUGUUAGGAAUUGACCCGACAAACCAAAUAUUCCUAUCCCAUCGUCUUCAUUACUUUUAUUGCCCCGAAAUUGGUUAGCCCAUGAAUUUAUUAUGUUGAAGCCCCUCUUUAAUUGCAAAUUUGAGGUUGAUAAAAUCAUUAUUUAAUGUCUGAAUUUGAUAAUAUUUUUUUGUAUUGUUCAACUUUGACCUUUAACUUCCUUAUUACCACUUCUGUUUACCACCAAUUUUUGGUCGCAAACCAAAUGGACCGUUUUCUAGUACCAUUAUUUUCACACCAACUACUUUGGAAUGAGUCUCCUUCUCUUGCGUCCCUCUCAAUUCUCAUUUUCAAAUUUACUUUAGUGUAUUUUUUUUUAAUUUAAAAAAAAUUAUUUACUUUAAAUAAGACAAACAAAUCAAAUAAAAAAUUGACGAUUUGAUCAAUUUAAUCGCUAACUUUUUUUGAAAAACAAUUGGUUAAUAAUACUUUAUUCAUGCAGAGGUACUAAAAUUGUCUUUUUAUUAUACUGAAUUGAGAUGUGUUGUGGUCGUAGUUUAAUUAUUGAGUGUUAUCCAUCAAGGUAUUAGCUGAUAAAAGUAUCAUGGAGGCUCUAAUAUUGAGAGUCAAAUUGUAUUUAACUCCUUUUAUUAAAAGAGUAAGUUAAUCCAUGUACAUUAGAUAGAAGAGUAAAUUGAUCAUUUUUAUUAAAAUGAUUCAUCUUUUUUUGUUGUUAAAAACUAACGUGGUUGGCAAAAUAAUCAGGCAAUACCUUAUGUUGAUUACAUGGAUCAAUUUUUAAUAAUAAUGGAUGAAAUUUUUUAAUAAAAGAACUAGUUUACUCUUUAAUCGGACCUACAAAGACUAAUUUAUUUAUUUUUUUAAGUAGAAAAUAUAAAAUACAAUCUGACCAAGAAUACAAGAAGAUACUUUUACUGAUAUUAUUAGGUUGAAGAUGAUGCUUCCGUGUUGUAUUGACGAUAACGAUGAAGUUAAUCAAUACAUUGUAUUUGUCAAGCAAAAUUAAUAAUAUAAGAAAAGUAUUCCAAUUUGGUAGAUUUAAAAAAAAGGAACAUGGUCGACAUGAAUUUCUUCGGUGGAAGGAUUGACCCACCAUAGAUUGGGAACUGCCACUUGACUGCUACUAAUAUCUGCAUUUCCAUCUAUAUAUGUAUGUAUAUAUAUAUAUAUAUAUAUAUAUGCUGGAACCUUGUUAUUACAUAAAAAUACAGGACGACUUCAUUUUCUUCUUCAAUGGCAGUGUCAGAAAUCUCGCGAUGUACUUAUCAUGUAUUCUUGAGUUUUAGAGGUGAAGAUACGCGCAAAAGUUUCACGGAUCAUCUUUACACAGCUUUGGUGCACUUAGGAAUUCGAACAUUUAGAGAUGAUGAGGAAAUCGAGAGAGGGAAUAACAUAAAAGAUGAAAUUGAAAAAGCAAUACUACACCACUCCAAAAUUUCUAUCGUUGUUUUCUCAAAGAAUUAUGCUGCAUCCACAUGGUGUCUUAACGAACUUGUAAUGAUAUUGGAGCACAAGAAAUCCUCUAAACAUAUUGUGUUGCCAGUUUUCUAUGAUGUGGAUCCCAGUCAAGUCAAGAACCCGACGGGAAGUUAUGCAGAAGCAUUUACCCAACAUGAACAAAACUUCGAGUCCAUGGUACAAAGAUGGAGGAAUGCUUUAAAAGAAGUUGCGGAUAUAGGAGGCAUGGUUCUACAAGACAGGUACGUUAUACACAUAAUCAGGUUCCAUAUGGUUACUUCAAUCCUUUUCAUUAAGACUUGAUAGAGUAGAAAUAAAAUUAAUAGAAAAUAUUGUUAGGUAGCGUUUGGAAAUUAAAAUGGUUACUUCAAUCCAUUUUAAAGGGUUAAUUAUAAUUCAGAUUUUAAAUUAUUUCUCAAAUAUUAAAAUGUUUUAAUUGAUUUAUUAAAGUAUUAGUAUUGUAUCAACAAGGUCUUUCUAUCAAACAAAUCAUCACCUUAAGCAUUAAAUGUUAGCUCGAAUCUAAUGUGGGAUGUUUUUAGAACACAUAGAUCAAGUUUUAAAUACGUUUGCACCUAUCACAUGAACAACUUGGAUUUGACGAGUUGAAAACAAAAAAAAAAGAAACUCUUGAAUUUAAUGACACUAUUUUUGAUUUUCUAAGAUGUCAUUGUUGGUAAUGCAAAAGAAUAUUUUGAAUUGUGGAAAAUCCUCUAACCGUUGCAGAAAACAUUUUUAGAAUAUUUUCAGUUAGGAAAAUCCUUUGCUAUUUUUGGAAACUAAAACUAUUAUUUUACCAUUUUGCCCAUCAAAAAAUAGUAUAAAUAGGAGGCGGUUCUCCCACCUAACACAACAAGAGAAAAACAACUUCGCUAUGUUCUCUAAAUUCUAGUGUUCUGCAAAAUUACACGAGAUGGAAAUUUUGUCUAAGAGAUUAGGUUUUAAGCGGGACUGUUUGUGACCCCUUUAAUCUUUCUUGGGAAUUGAAUUUUUUUUUUCCGGGAAGAGUAAUGUCAAUCGUGUUCCACCUUCUUUAUUCGGGUGUAUGAAUAUUGGAGUAUUGUGUUGGGGGGUAACGUCCACUACACGAUUACAUCGGUCAAGGCGAAUUUAUCUCUACUGCAGUGGUUCUUCCACGACACAAUGAUUCUUAUUUUAUUUACAUUCAGUUUGGUCUCCUGUAACAAUUCUAUUUUGCAGUACUAUAUUUCCAACAAUCAUAUCCAAGUUAUUCGUGUAAUAGGUCUACACAUAUUCAAAAUGUUACAAUGAAUAAAAUAUAUAUAUAAAUUCAUGUAAAUAACAUGAAUUUAUUAAACUUUCACAAAGUGAAAGUUGAAAUUUUGAGUAUAGGUUGUUUCUCGAACGAAUUUCAUUAAUUUUUAUGUUGUUUUAUUUGAUUUGAUUUUAAAUGUAAUAAUUCUAUCGAAAUGUUGCAUUAGUUUCUUAUUUUUACUUUAACAUAUAAUCUCAUAAAAACAAUCAAAAUAUAUGCAAGAACAGAGAAAAAACAUUAGUAACAUUUACAUAAUUUCCAAGAUUUUACCAUUGAUCAGUUGUAUUUUUCAAAUUUGCAGGCAUGAAUCACAAUUCAUCCAAGAUAUUGUUAAAGAAGUUCAAAAUAAACUUAAUCUUAUUUCUUUGUAUGUCCCUCCUUAUUUAGUUGGAAUAGAUUCUCUCGUGACACAAAUUAAUCAAUUGUUAGAACAAGAUGGAGCAAAUAAAGUUGGCAUUGCAACUAUUUGUUGGCAUUGCAACUAUUUGUGGCAUUGGAGGCAUUAGGAAGACAACCAUUGCCAAAGUUGUUUACAAUCAAAACAUCCCGAGGUUUGAAGGUUAUAGUUUCCUUGCUGAUGUUAGAGAAACAAGUCAAGAUUGCAAUGGUUUAGUCCGUUUGCAAAGGCAACUUAUUUCAGAUAUCCUUAAAGGAAAAUCACAUAAAAUAUUCAAUAUAGAUAAUGGAAUUAACAAGAUCAAAGAAAUUGUAUGUUGUAGAAGAGUUCUUCUUGUUCUUGAUGAUGUUGAUGGAUUGGAAAAAAAUAAGAAAAUUUAAAUGGGAACUCAAAUUCCUUUUCAUCCGGGAAGUAAAAUCAUCAUAACUAGUAGAAACCGAUGCCUANNNNNNNNNNNNNNNNNNNNNNNNNNNNNNNNNNNNNNNNNNNNNNNNNNNNNNNNNNNNNNNNNNNNNNNNNNNNNNNNNNNNNNNNNNNNNNNNNNNNNNNNNNNNNNNNNNNNNNNNNNNNNNNNNNNNNNNNNNNNNNNNNNNNNNNNNNNNNNNNNNNNNNAUGCAAGAAGUUUAGUGAAACACUGUGGUGGGCUUCCGUUAGCUCUUCAAGUUUUGGGCUCUUCAUUAUCUAGCAAAAGUGUGAGUUCUUGGAAAAGUGCAUUGGAGAAAUUGGAAGAAAUCCCUGACAGCAAAAUUCAAGAGAUUCUAAGAAUAAGCUAUGAUUCUUUGGAAGACGAUCAUGACAAAAAUUUAUUCCUUGACGUAGUUUGUUUAUUCAUUGGGAAGGAUAGAGAUUACACGACUACAAUUCUAGAUGGUUGUGAUUACUAUACAACAAUUGGAAUUGAAAAUCUAGUAGGCAGGUCUCUCUUAAUCAUUAAUGAAAAAAACAAGCUAAUGAUGCACCAAAUGAUUAGAGAUAUGGGACGAGAAAUUAUUCGUCAAGAAUCUUCUGAUAUUGGGAAACGAAGCAGAUUGUGGCAUAAGAAGAUGUAAUAAGAGAAAAAACUGUAAGAACAUCAUUUUACUCAACUUCUUUCUUGUGUGCAUUUAAACUUUUUUUUUUCAAAUUUCCUUUUACUUUGUAAAAAAGUUUUUCUGAUGCAGGGUUCCAGAACAGUUAAGUGCCUCACAAUUGACCUAAAAGGAUUGCUAGAAGACAAGGCUACAAGGACAAAUACAACUCUACAUUUUCCAAAGCAUUUCAUAAGUCAGUUUCUCAUGGCGAAUGAUGUUGAUAUGGAAACUCAAGCAUUUGCAAAGAUGAAGAGACUUAAACUGCUUCAACUGGAUUAUGUAAGACUUAAAGGAGACUUCAAAGACUUUCCCAAAAGAUUAAGAUGGUUACGUUGGCAUGGGUUUUGUAUGCAAUCUUUUCCGGUGGAUUUCGAUAUCAAUGAACUAGUUGUUCUCGACAUGCGCAACAGUAAACUUAAACAAGUUUGGAAGGAUACAGAGGUAUGAUAUAUACUAAUUUUCCUUCUUUUUGUGUUUGUGAGAAACAAUAAUAUAUAAAUGAAGGGUUUUCUUUUUUUGCAGUGCCUCCCAAAUUUAAAGAUCCUUAAUCUCAACCAUUCACAUAGCCUUCUUAAAACCCCAAGCUUUUCAGGACUCCCUAGCCUUGAGAAGUUGAUGCUCAAAGAUUGCAUAAAUUUGGUGGAAGUUGAUCAAUCCAUUGGUGAGCUAAAGAUGCUUACUUUCUUGAACCUUAAAGAUUGCACAAGUCUUAGGAAACUUCCAAGGACAAUUGGUUCAUUAAUAUCACUUGCAGAGCUUAUUUUAUCUGGUUGUUCAAGACUUGAUGAUGUCCCCAGGGAGUUGCAUAAUAUGAAAUCAUUGAAGGUGCUUAAUUUAGAUGACACUUCCAUAUGUCAAACAAGAUUGGGAUUGCAUUGGCUCUUACCGAAAAGAAGUAAAGAAUUGGGUUUCUUGGGCGUCUCUACCGUGCUCUUUGGUAAAGUUAAACCUUGAAAGUUGCAAAUUAUCUGAUGAUGUUAUGCCCAAUGAUCUUUACAACUUAGCUUCAUUGAAAUCCUUAAAUUUAAGUAGAAACCCAAUUCGUUACCUUCCCGAAAGCAUAAAAAAACUUACAAAACUUGAUGAACUUCUACUGACUUCUUGCACUGAACUCCAAAAGAUUCCAAAGCUUCCAGUCUUGCCCAAUGUUUUUGAGUUCUUGACAGUAUCUCCAUUUAAAGGAUAUUGGGCAAUUCUUCCAUGCUUCUUUUCUUCCACACGAUGUGUUAUUUUUGGAUGUGAAAAAUUGACCGAGGUUCAAGAUAUAUUCAAAUUGAAACCAAUUGAAAACUUUGAAGAAGAAGAAAUUCGAAGAUUAUUCAACCUGGAUUCCAUUAGCAGAAAUCGACUGCAACUUUAUAGCUACCUAACAGACAGCAUAAUGCUUGCUACCCCACAGGUCCAACAGUUCUCCAACUUAAAUUUUAACUUUAUUUUUUUUCUCUUAUAUUACUUAAUGAACACAUUUUUAAUCAUCUAACAUGUUUUUUUUUUGGAUCAGGUCUUGCAGGAAUGUGGUAUAACAAGCACAUUUGUUAUAGGAAGUGAAGUUCCGAUUGUGUUUAAGCAUCGCACUAAUGAGCACCGAAUCUCUUUUUCUUUGCCAACACCAUCUCAUCCAGAUGAAAAGAUCCAUCGGUUCAGCUUAUGCAUUGUUUUCUCUCUAGCUCGUGAUCAAAUAUUGGAGUUUCUACCAAGUGUCCACAUUUUCAAUGAGACCAAAAGGAUCAUGCAGAGAUAUGGCUCAAGUUUCAUCGGAAUUCCUGAGACUAACGAUAACACAAUGUUGUGGUUGAUCCAUUGGCCAGUAACGGAUUGUGAGUUUGAAGGUGGUGACCUUGUGAGUUGCAUGGUAGUGCCUAUUCAUCUCAGCAUAAGAAAAUUUGGCGUUACUUAUGAAUCACAACACAACGUUAGAAAUAAAUAUGGCUUUUCACACUUAUCUACAGGUAUGACUAUGACUCCAAGUGAUUAUGUUUAUGGAAUAUUACCCCAUGCACUAUUAACACUUAUCUAAACUAAAGAUAUAUCCUUAUUGAAAUAAAAUUUUUUUUGACAAAGAAAAUAAUAAAUUAUAUGAAUAUUUAAUGUGGUUUCAAUGACAAGAUUAUAUAUUAGUGAAUACAUCCUAUUAUUUUUUUAAUGUUUCGUUUUAGAUGUAAAUAACAAAUGAUUAAGAAAUGAUAAAUGUUGCAAUUGGGAUUUAAUUAAAAUAAUUUAAUUGUUUGAAAAAUGAUUAAUCCUAUUGUUAGUUUACAAGUCUUAUAAUACAUUUUAGUGAUAUAAUAUUCGUAUUUUGAUUUUUUUCAUAUAAUAUUAAGAGAAAGGGAUGGGGUCACACGGUUUGAAUCUGUAUCAAAUAGAUGUUGGACAAAAGCUUGAACCAGCAACCUAUUCAAGUCAAGACUACUAUUUUAAUAUUCUAAUAUGCAUAUCAUGUUGAUGAUCACUAGAAUUGAUAAAUAACACAUUAUUGUACAUAUUUUAGGAGAUGAAGUUGCCACAAGAAAUAUGAUGAUGGAUCUAACUAAAGACUUACCCAGUUUGGAAUCUUAUGGAAAUGUUAAAGUGCAACUUUGCAGUUAUAUAGAAGAAUCAAAAGUGGUUGCUUCCCCACAGGUUCCCUUUACAAGUUUCAACUUUUAAAAAAUAUUUAUAUACUAUUUUUUAAAAUCUUAUUCAAUAACCCAAUGUUACAGGUAUUAUACGAUUACGGCAUAAUUACAAUAGUUGAUCCAUUGCCAUUUGAUUACAAUGGCCACUAUUUUGGCCAUCAAGCUGGCAAGACUGAGGUUUCAAUAUCAGUGCCCCCAAACUCUAGUCGAAAGAUAAGUUGCUUCUUAAAUUCGAUUAUCAUUUUUUCUGCCAAGAAUGAUAAAACAUAUAGAUUUUUACCAUGCCUUGAAAUUGUGAACGAGACCAAAGGUACAAAGUGGACCUACUCCAAACAUUUCAUGGGAAUUCCUGAAAUUAAGAAUACCUUAUACUGGACGACUUGUUGGAACUUUAGGGGUGAUGAACUAGAAGCUGGUGAUUGUAUUAGUCUGCGGGUUCUUUCAAAUUUAUCUGUACUAGAAUUUGGGAUUGACCUUGUAUAUGAUUAUGAGCUAGAUGGUAACCCAAAUUUUUUCAGUCAGUUACCAUGGAUGAGUAAAUGUUUUACGUAUCUUUUCGGGACUUUUGUUUCUCUGUUGUCACAAUCCCAAAAAAACUUGUAUAGGUUGCAAAGUUUAGUCAAAUGCUGAUUAUUGUAGGAAUUGAAAUGGAGCAAAUGAAUAUUUUGGUUUAGUCAUUGCCGCCUUGGCUUGGCUGAUUUCAUCUUAUAUUUAAUCUCUAAUUCUUAUGUAUGCUAUCGAUAUUGAUUUUUGCUCAAGUUCUUCAAUGAAGCACCUUGUUCUUGGUAAUUCAAUUAACUUGUGCUUUUAACCAGAUGUCGUGGAGUUAUUUUUAACUAUUAUUAGGCUAAAUCUUUAGAGAAAAUGGUGAUUUCUAUUUAUGUUUCUAAUAUUCACGCCUGUUUUCAUUGGAAGGGACUCUGGAAAAUCUCUAAGUACCAUGGCAAAGUGUUGGGUGUUUAUUCCUAACAAUAGGAAUUGAAAAGAUCUAUCUUUUGGUUUUGUAAGAUUUGCAAGAAUUAUGGAUGCUAAGAGGGCGAUUAGUAGACUUAAUUGAUUUUGUAUAUAUGGAAGUAAAGUGAAUGUGAACUUAGCUCGCUUUGAGGGAAGAGUGGUGUACUAAAAGAAAGUUGAAAAUGGUAAGCUAGGAGGUGAUGAUCGUAGAGAUGAAUUAGGAGUAGAAAACGAGAAAAAGCAUUCUUGGGAGAUGAUUUGAUUACUAUUUGUGGAACACUAGUUCCUAUAACUACAUAUGCUUGUUCAUAAUAGUUAUCUUAAAAUAUCGAACAAAUAUCAAUUGGAUGUUCUGGUUUAAAUAUAUAAUUUCAAGAGAAUGUAUUCGUACCUCAUUCUACCCAAGAUUUAUGUCAAAUCCAAACUGUUGUGAGUUGUUAGCCAUGAUGAAAAUCAAUUCUGUAACAGUUUAAUAGGGUGGAGUUAGAAAAUUUUUUGAAGGGAGGCCGAAAUAAAAUUAUAUAUUUUUAUAACAAUAAAAGUAAAAUUUUACUAUUUUAAUAGUCUACAUCUUUAUAAUUUUUAAAAAAUUAAAUUAAAAAUUUUUCGUUUUCACUCCAACUGUUUCACUCAACAUAAUAAAUUCAUUUAAAGUAGUGAAGACGAUGGGAUAAGCUAAUGUUGAUCGUAUGGGAUGUGAAAAAGCAAGUAAGAGCAGUAGACUAUGAAAACUCGUAAUAUAUUUAUAAACAUUUCUUACGUUACAUUUCAACCACCUCUUUAAUUCCACCAGAAUCCGGUACUACUCGCUCUUGAGUGUAAUUAUUCGAAUAGGGAUCAUAUCUCUUUUAUAGUGGAAUACUACUUUGUCUUAUUACAUGGGCUUGUUCAUAAGAGUUCUCUUAGAAUAUCGAACAAAUAUCAGUUGGGUAUUCUGGUUUAAAUAUUUAAUUUUCAAGAGAAUAUAUUCUUACUUCACUCUGUCCUCUCGAAGAUUCAUGUCAAAUCCAAACUGACGUGACGUGAGUUGAUAGUCAUGAUAGAAAUCAAUUCUCUAGCAUUUCAACGAGUUUUGCUCGUAAGUAAAAGUCUUUCGUAAAAAUAUUAGAUAAGUAAUUGGUAAAAAAUUUAAUUCAAAAGGCAACUAGUAAAGAGCUCUUUAAUAUUUUUCAACAUUCAUAAAGGGUUUUUAUGUACUUUUAUUGAAUGGAAUAGAUUUUUUUUUUCCUAAUAGAGGAACCACGAGAAGCAAAAUCUUUUCCAAAGAAUAUUCUUAGUUGAUCUAUUCAAAAUGUACUUGGCAACCAGUUCUUGCAAAGAAAAUCAUAAUAAUUUUUCCUGUUUGAAAUCCUAAAAAUCUUUUAAAUCAACCCAAUCAUCUCAUUCAAAUACUUUAUUAAUUUUACACAAAUUAUUCUUCGCAUCAACAAAUAUUAUUUAUCACCCACUUUCAUGCAAAAUUAUUUUUACUAUGCAAGGAAUUGUCUCCAUGAAUUACUGUCAUCUUUUAGUUUAAGAUGAGUAAAUUUCAACCAGUAAUAACUUUCUUGAUGAACACCAUAUCUAUUUUGAUGAUAUGACAUGCUUUCUUUUGGUUCAAGAAAGGCAAUCAAUGACUUGAAAUUGAACCAUGAUUUUAAAGGACUUGGGUUUAUAUAAGUGGUAAUUCAAUUUCCUUUUCCUUGUUGGAAAAGGAAUUCCAUUUUGACUUUAACAGUGAUUUUUAAGUUGUUGUUUUCUUAUUGUUAAUUAUUUAAAAAAUAAUCGCAUUUUAACUUGUAAACUUAAAUCUUAAACUAUUAUCAUUAUGUUUACUUUCUGAUGAUAAUUAACAAAAAUAUUUGGUUUUAAAAUUUUAAUACAAUCAAUGAAACGCAAUUCACAUAUAUGAAUAAUGAUGAAAUUUGACGUGAUUAAAAAAAUAUUAAAUUUUGUUAUAUUUUUAAUAAUGAAUAUAGGUAAAAUGGUAAUAAACCGGCAUUUUAAUGUCAUUUAAAACGUGUCAAAUAAAUAUUAGAUUAGAUAUUCAAUAUUAAUAAUCAAUAUAUAUUAAUUGAAUUAGACAUUAUAAUUAGUCAUGACUGUCGAAAUUUAAAAUUGUAAAAAUUAAUAUAUAUUGAAUUAAAUGACUACUAUACAUAAUCUUAUUCAAAUAAUAAUAAUGAAAAAAAGAGUGUUUAAGACAAUUUCGUUGUAUUUGUUUGUUCUAUGAUCCAACUAUGGUAGGUAAGCGUGAUGUAGGCUCAUCGUACUCCCAUCCAGUGGCUUUAAUUUGCUCUAAUGGAAUCGAAAAUGAAUCAAUCCUUUUAACUUCUUCUUCUUCCUCUUCAUCAUCGGAAAUCGACUUUAUUUCUAAAAAAAGUUUUGGGUCGAUUUUGGAGUUCCAAUCAAUAUCAUCGAUAUACAUAUCAGCUGCAUUACUUGGCAACUUAUUUGUGAAAGGAAAACGAUGAUAAUACUCCCAGAAUCUCUGUUUUGCUUCUUGGAAAGCUUUUAAACCAGCUGAAUCAUCCCAUUCGAAUACUUUAUCUAUUUUGAACAAAUUAUUCUUUGAUUCAACAAAUCUUUUCCAUGGCAUUGCACCCACUUUUAUGCAUAAAUUUUUCUCCCAUGAGGUAAUGGUUCCCAUGAAUUAUAGUUAUCAUUCAGUUUGAGACGAGUAAAUUUCGGACUGUAGUACCUUUCUGGGCGAUUAUGAUAUCUUCUUUGAUAGUAUGGCAUGAUUUCUUAUAAUCCAAACAAAUAAAUGAAUUGAAAUCGCUAAUGAUUUGAAUUUACAGUGAGGAGACCUGUUGGGUUUAUAUAAUCUUAUUAGAGUCGGUGGUGACUCAAUCCAUUUCCUUGUUGGAAAAGGAAUUCUAAUUUCAGUUUGACUAUGAUUUCUAUUUUCUAAAUUUUUGUAUAAUAAAAUUUUUAAAAAAUAACUAUAUCUGUAUUGAUUCGUUUCCCUCUGAUUGAUACGUUACAUCCCUAGCUUCUCUAGAAUCCUCAUUAACUAUCUGAUCUCUUCACCCAUUGGUGUUCCCCCAAGAGUGUUUUUUCUCGUUUUCUCCUCCUAAUUCAUCUCCACGAUCAUCACCUCCUAGCUUACCGUUUUCAACUUUCUUCCAGUACACCACUUUUCCCUUAAAGCGAGCUAAGUUCACAUUUACUUUACUUCCAUAUAUACAGAAUCCAUUAAGUUUACUAAUUGGCCACUUAUCAUCCACAAUGCUUGCAAAUCUUACUAAAACAAAACGUAUGUAGACCUUUUCGAUGCCUUUUGUUAGGAAUAAACGCGUCCAACACUUUGCCAUGGAACUCAGAGAUUUUCCAUGGUCCCUUCCAAUGAAAACAAGAAGGAAGAUUAGAAACAUAAACUGAAAUCACCAUUUUCUCUAAGGAUUUAGCCUAGUAAUAGUUAACAAUAACUCCACGGCAUCUGAUUAAAAGCACAAGUUAAUUGAAUUACCAAGAACAAUGUUCUUCAAUACUAUUCCAAAUUCAAUUUUGGAACUUCUGUUAUCAUAGCUUUCAACUAUUUGAAACUCUGUUGGCAUUAUUCAAUCACACAUAACUAACAUUUUCUGUAGCAACUUCGUCAUGGUAGAGCUAUCAUCGACAAGCCUGAACAAAUCACCUGUAGUAUACAAUAAAUCCUAGAGAACUACACACUUCUAUAUUAUUUUUCAGAGAUUCCCUAAUUCACAUUUAUCAGGAGUUUAUUCGAAAUAACUCAAAUAUCUUCUGCUGUUAAUAAAAGGUUUAGAAAACUUAUUUCUUGAAAUUAAAAUUCACAUUUAUUGAUUUUCACAAAUAAUUAUUUCUCUCGUAAUAUCUGUACGUAACACUGUUUUUCCAAUACUAAUCGUGUUCAAAUUUUUUCUUCACAUGAAUUGAGUAUCUUUAAUUAUAUAGCAACAACUCUGAUAAGAUACAACUAGAAACUUUUUGUCUAUUAAAUAUAUAAAGUGACUAUGCAAUUGAUAAUCAUAUACAAUAAUCAACAUUUGUCUAAACUUUGCAACCUAUACAAGUCUUUUUGGGAUUUCGACGAAACAUAAACAAAAAUCCCGAGAAGAUACUUAAAACAUUUACUCAUCCAUGGCAACUGACUGAAAAAAUUUGGGUUGUCUUCUAGCUCAUAAUCAUAUACAAGGUUAAUACCAAAUUCUAGCACAGAUAAAUCUGAAAGAACCCGAAGACUAAUAUGAUCACCAGCUUCUAAUUCAUCACUUCUAAAGUUCCAACAAGUCGUCCAGUAUAAGGUAUUCUUAGUUUCAGGAAUUCCCAUGAAAUGUUUGGAGUAGGUCCACUUUGUACCUUUGGUCUCGUUCACAAUUUCAAGGCAUGGUAAAAAUCCAUAUGUUUUAUCAUUCUUGGCAGAAAAAAUGAUAAUCGAAUUUAAGAAGCAACUUAUCUUUCGACUAGAGUUUGGGGGCACUGAUAUUGAAACCUCAGUCUUGCCAGCUUGAUGGCCACAGUAAUGACCAUGGUAAUCAAAUGGCAAUGGAUCAAAUGUUGUAAUUAUACUGUAAUCAUAUAAUACCUGUAGCAUUGGGUUAGAGAAUGAGUUAUUAAAAAGUAUAUAGUAUAUAAAUAAUUUUAAAAACUUGGAACUUGUAAAGGGAACCUGUGGGGAAGCAAUCACUUUAGAUUCUUCUAUAUAACUGCAAAGUUGCACUUUAACAUUUCCAUAAGAUUCCAAACUGGGCAAGUGUCUAGUUAGGUCCAUCUUGAUAUUUCUUGUGGAAACUUCAUCUCCUAAAAUAUGUACAAUAAUGUGUUAUUUAUCAAUUUUAGUGAUCAUCAACAUAAUUUACUUAUUAAAAAAAUAAUAGUAUUGACUUGAAUGGAGUGAUAAUUAUCAAACACCCAUUUGACAAGAAUUCAAAUCGUGACCCAUCCCCAAUACUCAAUAUUGUAUGAAAAAAAGAUAUCAAAAUAGUAAUGUUAUUAUCACUAAAAUAUAUUAUAAGACUUGUAAGAAAUAAUCAAUUAUACACAUUAAAUAACUUUAAAACUAUUAAAUAAGUUAAUCAAAACACCACUUUUAUAAUUUUAUCCAUUAUUUUAGUUUCCACUUCUAUUAGCUAUUGGAUUAAUCAUUUAUCAAACAAUUAAAUUAUUUUCAUUAGACCCCAAUUGCAGCAUAACUUUAUAAUUAUCAUUUUAUUAUUAAGCUAAAUUUCUCUCAUAAUCUAUUAAAUUGUCACAUUUCUUGAUAAUAUUUUUUAUUGUAUUAGAAAGUCUUUUAGAGAAACAUUCAUCAUUUCUUGAACAUUUGUUAGUCACAUAUAAAAUAAAUAUAAUAGGACGUAUUUACUAAAAUAUAAUUAUUUGAAGUCUACUCAUACCUGUAGAUAAGUGCGAAAAGCCAUAUUCAUAUCUAAUGUUGUGUUCUGAUUCAUAAGUAACGCCAAAUUUUCUUAUGCUGAGAUGAAUAGGCACUACCGCGCAACUCACAAGGUCACCAGCUUCAAACUGACAGUCCGUUACUGGCCAAUGAAUCAACCACAACAUUGUGUUAUCGUUAGUCUCAGGAAUUCCAAUGAAACUUGAGCGAUAUCUCUGCAUGAUCCUUUUGGUCUCAUUGAAAAUGUGGACACUUGGUAUAAGCUCCAACAUUUGAUCACUAGCUAAAGAGAAAACAAUGCAUAAGCUGAACCGAUGGAUCUUUUCAUCUGGAUGAGAUGGUGUUGGCAAAAAAAAAGAGAUUCGAUGCUCGGUAGUGCCAUGCUUAAACCCAAUCGGAACUUCACUUCCUACAACAAAUGUGCUUGUUAUACCACAUUCUUGCAAGACCUGAUCCAAAAAGAACUAGUUAGAUGAUUAAGUAGUAUAAGAGAAAAAAUAGAUUUAAAAUUUAACUUGGAGAACUAUUGGACCUGUGGGGUAGCUAGCAUUAUGCUGUCUGUUAGGUAGCUAUAAAGUUGCAGUCGAUUUCUGUUAAUGGAAUCCACUUUGAAUAAUCUUCUAAUCUCUUCUGCUUCAAAGUUUUCAAUUGGUUCCAACUUGAAUAGAUCUUCAACCUCAGUCAACUUUUCACAUCCAAAAAUAAUACAUCGUGUGGAAGAAAAGAAGCAUGGAAUAAUUACCGUAUAUCCAUGAAAUGAAGAAUUGUCUCCAAAAAUAAACUUGCACUCAAAAACAUUGAGCAAGACCGGAAGCUUUGGAAUCAUUUGGAGUUCAGUGCAAGAAGUCAAUAGAAGUUCUUCAAGUUUUGUAAGGUUUUUUAAGCUCUCGGGUAGGUAAUGAAUUGGGUUUCUACUUAAAUUUAAGGAUUUCAAGGAAGCCAAGUUACAAAGAUCAUUGGGCAUGACAUCAUUAGAUAAUUUGCAACUUUCAAGGCUUAACUUUACCAAAGAGUCCGGUAGAGAUGCCCAAGAGAAACCCAAUCCUUUGCUUCUUUUCAGUAAGAGCCAAUGCAACCCCAAUCUUGAUUGAUAUAUGGCAGUUUCAUCUAAAUUAAGCACCUUCAAUGAUUCCAUAUUAUGCAACUCCCUAGGAACAUCAUCAAGUCUUGAACAACCAGAUAAGAUAAGCUCUUCAAGUGAUAUUAAUGAACCAAUUGUCCUUGGAAGUUUCCUAAGACUUGUGCAAUCUUUAAGGUUCAAGAAAGUAAGCAUCUUUAACUCACCAAUGGAUUGAUCAAUUUCCACCAAAUUUAUGCAAUAUUUGAGCAUCAACUUCUCAAGGCUAGGGAGUCCUGAAAAGCUUGGGGUUUUAAGAAGGCUAUGUGAAUGGUUGAGAUUAAGGAUCUUUAAAUUUGGGAGGCACUGCAAAAAAAGAAAGCCCUUCAUUAAUUAUAUAUUAUUGUUUCACACACACACAAAAAGGAGUAUUAGUAUAUAUCAUACCUCUGUAUCCUUCCAAACUUGUUUAAGUUUACUGUUGCGCAUGUCGAGAACAACUAGUUCAUUGAUAUCAAAAUCCACCGGAAAAGAUUGCAUCCAAAACCCAUGCCAACGUAACCAUCUUAAUCUUUUGGGAAAGUCUUUGAAGUCUCCUUAAGUCUUACAUAAUCCAGUUGAAGCAGUUUAAGUCUCUUCAUCUUUGCAAAUGCUUGAGUUUCCAUAUCAACAUCAUUUGCCAUCAGAAACUGACUUUUGGAAUGCUUUGGAAAAUGUAGAGUUGUAUUUGUCCUUUUAGCCUUGUCUUCUAGCAAUCUUUUUAGGUCAAGUGUGAGGCACUUAACUGUUCUGGAACCCUGCAUCAGAAAAACUUUUUUAAAAAAUAAAAAGAAAUUUGAUAAAAAAAAAGUAGAUUACAUGCACACAAGAAAAAAGUUGAGUAAAAUGAUGUUUCUUACAAUUUUUUCUCUUAUUACAUCAAAGGCGUUCUUAUGCCACAAUCUGCUUCGUUUCCCAAUAUUAGAAGAUUCUUGACGAAUAAUUUCUCGUCCCAUAUCUCUAAUCAUUUGGUGCAUCAUUAGCUUGUUUUUUUCAUUAAUGAUUAAGAGAGACCUGCCUACUAGAUUUUCAAUUCCAAUUGUUGUAUAGAAAUCACAACCAUCUAGAAUUGUAGUCGUGUAAUCUCUAUCCUUCCCAAUGAAUAAACAAACUAUGUCGAGGAAUAAAUUUUUAUCAUGAUCGUCUUCCAAAGAAUCAUAGCUUAUUCUUAGAAUCUCUUGAAUUUUGCUGUCAGGGAUUUCUUCCAAUUUCUCCAAUGCACUUUUCCAAGAACUCACACUUUUGCUAGAUAAUGAAGAGCCCAAAACUUGAAGAGCUAACGGAAGCCCACCACAGUGUUUCACUAAACUUCUUGCAUAUGCCAUUAAACUUUCAGGCACAGAGUUAUGACCAAAAGCAUACCAAUUAAAAAGUUGCAGCGAUUCACUUGAUGCUAAUUCUUUUACUUCAAAUAGCUUGCUUAAGCCUCCACAACUAGUUGAUGCUUCCAACUCAAACAUUUGGCUUAUAAAAUGUGCAUUCAAUAGGCAUCGGUUUCUACUAGUUAUGAUGAUUUUACUUCCCAAAUGAAAAGGUAUUUGAGUUCCCAUUAAUUUUCUUAUUUUUUCCAAUUCAUCAACAUCAUCAAGAACAAGAAGAACUCUUCUACAACAUACAAUUUCUUUGAUCUUGUUAAUUCCAUUAUCUAUAUUGUAUAUUUUAUAGUGUAUUUCCUUUAAGGAUAUCUGAAAUAAGUUGCCUUUGCAAACGGACUAAACCAUUGCAAUCUGGACUUGUUUCUCUAACAUCAGCAAGGAAACUAUAACCUUCAAACCUCGGGAUGUUUUGAUUGUAAACAACUUUGGCAAUGGUUGUCUUCCCAAUGCCGCCAAUGCCACAAAUAGUUGCAAUGCCAACUUUAUUUGCUCCAUCUUGUUCUAACCAUUGAUUAAUUUGUGUCACGAGAGAAUCUAUUCCAACUAAAUAAGGAGGGACAUACAAAGAAAUAAGAUGAAGUUUAUUUUGAACUUCUUUAACAAUAUCUUGAAUGAAUUGUGAUUCAUGCCUGCAAAUUUAAAAAAUACAACUCAAUGGUAAAAUUUUAGAAAUUAAGUAAAAGUUACUAAUGCAUUUUCUCUUUUCUUGCAUAUAUUUUGAUUGUUUUUAUGAGAUUAUAUGUUCAAAUAAAAAUAAGAAACUAAUGCAACAUUUCAACAUAUAUGAUAGAAUUAUUGCAUUCAAAAUCAAAUCAAAUCAAAUAAAGCAACAUAAAAAUUAAUGAAAUUCAUUUGAGAAACAACCUAUACUCUAAAUUUCAACUUUCUCUUUGUGAAAGUUUAAUAACAUGAAUUUAUAUAUUUAUUUUUUAUUCAUUGUAAUAUUUUGAAUAUGUGUAGACCCAUUACACGAAUAACUUAGAUAUAAUUGUUGCAAAUAUACUACUGCAAAAUAGAAUUGUUACAAGAGACCAAACUGAAUGUCAAUAAAAUAAGAAUCAUUGUGUCGUGAAAGAAUCACUGCAUUAGAGGCAAAUUCGCCUUGAUCGGUGUAAUCGUAUAGUGGACGUUACCCCCCAACAAAAUACUCCAAUAUUCGUACACCCGAAGGUGGAACAUGAUUAACAUUACUUUUCCCAAAAAAAAAGUUCAAUUCCCAAGAAAGAUUAAGGAGGUCACAAACAGUCUCGCUUAAAACCUAAUCUCUUAGACAAAAUUUCCCUCUCGUGUAAUUUUGCAGAACACUAGAAUUUAGAGAACAUAGAGAAGUUGUUUUUCUCUUGUUGUGUUAGGUGGGAGAAUGACCUCCUAUUUAUACUGUUUUUUGAUGGGCAAAAUGGUAAAAUAAUAGUUUUAAUUUCCAAAAAUAGUAAAUGAUUUUCCUAACUGAAAAUAUUCUAAAAAUAUUUUCUGCAACGAUUUUCUGCAAUUCAAAAUAUUCUUUUGCAUUAUCAACAAUGACAUCUUAGAAAACCACAAAUAGUGUCAUUAAAUUCAAGAGGCUAUUUCUUUUUGUUUUCAACUCGUCAAAUCCAAGUUGUUCAUGUGAUUUAAAAACAUCCCACAUUAGAUUCGAGCUAAUAUUUAAUGCUUAAGCUGAUGACUUGUUUGAUAGAAAGACCAUAUUCAUACAAUACUAAUAUUUUAAUGACUCAAUUAAAACAUGUUAAUGUUUCUGAGUUAUAAUUAACCCUUUAAAAUGGAUUGAUGUAACCAUUUUAAUUUCCAAACGCUACCUAACAAUAUUUUCUAUUAAUUUUAUUUCUACUCUAUCAAGUCUUAAUGAAAAGGAUUGAAGUAACCAUAUGGAAUUGGAUUAUGUGUAUAACGUACCUGUCUUGCAGAACCAUGCCUCCUAUAUCCGCAACUUCUUUUAAAGCAUUUCUCCAUCUUUGUACCAUGUUGGUUUCGGACUCGAAGUUUUGUUCAUGUUGGGUAAAUGCUUCUGCAUAACUUCCCGUCUGAUUCUUGACUUGACUCGGAUCCACAUCAUAGAAAACUGGCAACACACUAUGUUUAGAGGAUUUCUUGUGCUCCAAUAUCAUUACAAGUUCGUUAAGACACCAUGUGGAUGCAGCAUAAUUCUUUGAGAAAACAACGAUAGAAAUUUUGGAGUGAUGUAGUAUUGCUUUUUCAAUUUCAUCUUUUAUGUUAUUCCCUCUCUCGAUUUCCUCAUCAUCUCUAAAUGUUUGAAUUCCUAAGUGCACCAAAGCUGUGUAAAGAUGAUCCGUGAAACUUUUGCGCGUAUCUUCACCUCUAAAACUCAAGAAUACAUGAUAACUACAUCGCGAGAUUUCUGACAUUGCCAUUGAAGAAGAAAAUGAAGCCGUCCUGUANNNNNNNNNNNNNNNNNNNNNNNNNNNNNNNNNNNNNNNNNNNNNNNNNNNNNNNNNNNNNNNNNNNNNNNNNNNNNNNNNNNNNNNNNNNNNNNNNNNNCAAAGCAGAUAUUAUUAGCAGUCAAGUGGCAGUUCCCAAUCCAUGGUGGGUCAAUCCUUCCACCAGUUCAUACAACUGCCCGAAGAAAUUCAUGUCGGCCGUGUUGUUUUUUUCCAAAUCUACCAACUUGGGUUACGUAUUCUAUAUUAUUAAUUUUGCUUGACAAAUACAAUCUAUUGAUUAACUUGAUGGUUAUAGCUAACACAACACGUAAUAUAGACAUCAUCUUCAGGCUAAUAUUAGUAAAAAUACUAUGAAGGUUGUUGUAUUUUAAGUCAUACUAUAUUUUGUUUCCUCUACUUAAAAAAUAAUAAAUUAGUUAUUGUAUAUUAGAUUAGAAAGUAAACUAGUUCUUUUGUUAAAAAAUUUAUCCAUUGUUAUUGUUAAAAAUUAGUCCAUGUAAUAAACAUGAGGUACAUGUGACACGUCACAUGCAACUAUCUAAUUAUUUCGUCAUUCACGUUAGUUUUUAACAACAAAAAUGGAUGAAACUUUUAAUAAAAAUGAUAAAUUUAUUCUUUUAUCUAUGUAUAUGGACUAAUUUGCUUGUUUUUAAAUAAAAUGGGUUAAAUACAAUUUGACUCUCAAUAGAAUGAUCUCCAUGAUACUUUUACCGGCUAAUACCUUGGUGGAUACACUCAAUAAUUAAACCACAACCACAAUAUAUCACAUAGACAUCACAUUAAACAUUCAAGUUCAGUAUAGUAAAGAAACAAUUUUAGUAUCUAUGCAUGAAUGAAGAAUUAAUUGUUUUAGAAAAAGAAUUGGUGAUUAAAUUGAUCAGGUCGUCAAUUUUUUAUUUGAUUUAUUCGUGUUAUCUAAAGUAAAUAAAUUUUUAAAAAUUAAAAAAUAAUAAAAAUUCACGUAUAUUGCACGUUAAAGUAAAUUGAAAAUGAGAAUUGAGAGGGACAUAAGAGAAGGAGAAUAAUUCCGAAGUCAUGCUUAAGGAAAUUAGUGGCACUAGAAAACGCGUUUCAAUCGCUUUUCAUUUCGGAGUCAUGCUUACGGUCCAUUUGGUGCUCACCAUUUUUAUUAAAAAUAUUAUCUGAAUAGAGUUUUUCAACAGAGGUAGUAGAAAGGAAGGAAAACGUCAAAGUUGUACACUUUAAAAAAAUUAUAUUAUCAGACCUUAAACAAUGAUUUGUCGGCCUUAAAUUAGCAAUUAAAGAGGAUGGGAUAAGGGUAAGGUUGAGUAAUUGAUUCAAAAUUUCAUGCUGAGGGCAACUAGCACAAAAUUGUUUAAAUAUUUUCCAGUACUCAUUAAGGAUCUUCAUAUCCUUUUUGUGGUAUGGCAUAGAUUUCUUUCCUAAUUGAAGCACAAAGUGAAGAAAAAGAAAAUUCAACGAAUAUUCUUACCAUAUCUAUUUUAAAAUUUUAAUAUAAUUAAUGAAAAACAAUUCACAUAUAUGAAUCAUCAAAUUUGAGGUGCUUAGAGAAUCCCAUGUGAUGGCCUGAUGAUUAAGGUUGUUCAAAAUACAUGAAUGAUAAAAUUUAACGUGAUUAAAUAAAUAUUGAAUUUUGUUAUAUUUUUAAUAAUAAAUAUAGGUAAAAUGGUAAUAAAUUGGUAUUUUAAUGCCAUUAAAAACGUGUCAGAUAAAUAUUAGAUUAGAUAUUCAAUAUUAAUAAUCAAUAUAUAUUAAUUGAAUUAUACAUUAUAAUUAAGGAUGAGUGUCGAAAUUCAAAAUUGUAAAUAUUAAUAUAUAUUGAAUUAAAUUACUACCAUACAUAAUCUUAUUCAAAUAAUAAUAAUGAAAAAAAUGAGUGUUUAAGACAAUUUCGUUGUAUUUGUUUGUUCUAUGAUCCAACUAUAGUAGGUAAGCGUGGUGUAGGUUCAUCGUACUCCCAUCCAAUGGCUUUAAUUUGCUCUAAUGGAAUCGAAAAUGAAUCAAUCCUUUUAACUUCUUCUUCCUCUUCAUCAUCGAAAAUUGACUUUAUUUCCAAAAAAAAGUUUUGGAUCAAUUUUGGAGUUCCAAUCAAUAUCAUCUAUAUACAUAUCUGUUGCAUUACUUGGCAACUUAUUUGUGCAACGAAAACGAUGAUAACAUUCCCAGAAUCUAUGUUUGGCUUUCUAAAAAGCUUUUAAACCAGCUGAAUCAUCCCAUCAGAAUACUUUAUCGGUUUUCAACAAAUUAUUCUUUGAUUCAACAAAUCUUUUCCAUGGUAUUGCACCCACUUUUAUGCAGAAUUUUUUCUCCCAUGCUGGUAAUGGUUCCCAUGAAUUAUUGUUAUCAUUCGGUUUGGGACGAGUAAAUUUCUUUUUUUUAGUAACUUUGUUGGCGAUUAUGAUAUCUUCUUUGAUAGUAUGACACGAUUUCUUGUAAUCCAAACAAAUAAAGGAAUUGAAAUCGCUAAUGAUAUGGAUUUACAGCGAGGGGACUUGUUGGGUUUAUAUAUAAGAUUAUUAGAGUUGGUGGUGACUCAAUCCUUUUCCAACAAUUCUAAUUUCAGUUUGAUUAUUGAUGGGUGUCGAAUCCACCAAUAUAAACCUACACCUAAUUUUGCAAAUUUAAACAGUAUAAGGAGUAGGGUCGAUCCCUCAGAGACUGGGUUUACUGCAAAUUGUUGCUCUCUUGACCAGAUUUAUGUCGGGGCAGUUGUCGUGCCCAAGAAAUUUGGGGGAAGGAUAAAAUCGAAAACCUGGAACCUGAAAUAAAUAAAUAAAUAAAAUGAGUAAAAAGUAAAAGCUGCAAAUAAAUAAUAAAAGGCAGUUAAAUAAAUCUGAAGAAAAAUUAAUUAAAAUAAGCUCAGCUUUAGGCACGGAUUUUUCCUCGUCUUUGAACCAAUCCUCGAAAUUAGAUGAACUCCUCUUUUCCAAUAAGCUAGUUAUAGCUACCAAGGACGCCUCGGACACCAACUCUUCCUUGUGUAAAUUAGUUAUGGAACGUCCAAUAACUAACCCUUACCAAUCGAACAACCACGAAACGUUCGUGAUUUAGAACUUCUGCAGCUUUGCGUUCUAGAAGAGCCUAGCUCGAACCAAUGCCCUCAACCGCGUGGGNNNNNNNNNNNNNNNNNNNNNNNNNNNNNNNNNNNNNNNNNNNNNNNNNNNNNNNNNNNNNNNNNNNNNNNNNNNNNNNNNNNNNNNNNNNNNNNNNNNNNNNNNNNNNNNNNNNNNNNNNNNNNNNNNNNNNNNNNNNNNNNNNNNNNNNNNNNNNNNNNNGAUCUGACUUUGUGAGUUGACAAAAUCAUACUCUUAAUCCGAAGAAAUAAUAAGUACUGGAAUUUAGGGUGUGUAACUCACGGGUUUUGACGAGGCUAAUUCCGGCCUAAAGCUGAAAUGGAUACUUAAUAAAAAAAACUUGGUAAUAAAAAACUUGAUUAAUAACUUGAUUCAAGACUUGAUGAUAAAAUGAACAAAGUAGUCCACUAUUUAUACUAGUGGCUUUGCUAAAUUAAGAGCCAACUAGUAUAGAAAAUCAAGGAAUAAAAUAUUAAAAAUCCCUACAUAAUCUCCCACUAAGUCAACAAAAAUUUCAGCUAAUUAAUCUUGGAAAAAUUCUACUUUGGUCCUCCUUCUUUGCUUCUUUCUUCAAUCUAGCCCAAUUGUCUCAUUUUUCUUCUAUUUAGCCCCAAAUUGCACUCCUACACAAAAUUCAACAAAAACAUGGAAAAAUUAGUGUUGCACUCUCAUAAAUUAACCAAUUUAAUUACAUAAAAUAUGUAACUUUAGCAUUUAAACAAAUCCCCCUACUUAGCUUAUGCUAGUCCUCGAGCAUUUUGUAUGUAUCUACAAAAAGAAAAAAAAUUUCUCCAAAAUAGGGCUUGACCACCAUGAUUUGCACAAUUCAACAAUUUAAUCCUAGCACAUUAACAUCUCAAAUAACCUAGCCUAAGAAGUAAGUAAAUAUAUUUCAGAAUUUAUUAGAGCUUGAUAGACCUACCCCUAAUUUAUUUUUAUUUAUAAUAAUAAUAAUAAUUUUUUGUGUACUUAGGACAUUUUCGAAUUUUUUUUACGCGAGACAAGAUGACAACCCAAGCACCAUGUUCUGGUUACUCGAUUCGGAUGUCUCUAAGCGGGUUAUUUCGCCCUACUCGUGAUAGCUUGUUAACGGAGUGAGUGCAAAGAAAUUAUAUAGUCACACUUUGCGCGAGAUGUGAUGACAACCCAAGCACCACAUUCCGGUUACUCAGCCUGAUGUACAACCCCAAUAUUUCACUCUUAACAUUCGUAUCAGAUGAGUAUUUAUUCAUUUCUUCUUUUUUUCUCUUUUUUUUCUCUCUUUGUUUUUUUAAAGAAGAGAAGGAAAAAAAUUGAGAUGUGAUAUGAGGUAGGCAGUCAAGCAAACUCAUAAUUCCUAAAAAAAAAAAUCUUUCCCACUACGUCUAGCCUAUUGAAAAGUUUGUGUAAAGAACUAAAUAGCUAAAUAGGUCAAACCAUAAGUGUACCAUCCUAAUUUAUCAAAAGAAAAAUUUUACCUUUCACGAAAAAUAUGCAAAAACAACGACAACGAAUAAGCAAAAUAGAACUAAUAUAUGUUCCCUUCCCCCUACUUAUUUUAUAUUGUCCCUAAUGUAAUUUGAAUUGAAUUAAAUGAUAAAAAGUAAAGGUAAGUAGGGAAAGGAAAAAGAAACUCUCGAUGUAUUUCAACGUCGUGGAGGGUUGCCUAGUAGGUGUGUCCACGGUGUUAAAUGGUGGGUAGGUGGAUUGGGCCUUUGCUGAAAUUAAAAGAAUUUUGUAGGCUGACAUGGGGGAUUUAAUUUUGUCUUGGAAUGUCUCCCUGUUAUUCAAAUUUUGGGCUCCUCGAGAACAAUUGUAAGUGUUGCUAGUCCCCGGCAACGUCGCCAAAGCUGAUGGGUGUCGAGUCCACCAAUAUAAACCUACAUCUAAUUUUGAAAAUUCAAGCAGUAUAGGGAGUAGGGUCGAUCCCUCGAGACUGGGUUUACUGCAAAUUGUUGCUCUCUUGACCAGAUUUAUGUCGGGGCAGUUGUCGGGCCCAAGAAAUUUGGGGGAAGGAUAAAAUCGAAAACUUGGAACCUGAAAUAAAUAAAUAAAAUGCGUAAAAAGUAAAAGCUGCAAAUAAAUAAUAAAAGGCAAUUAAAUAAAUCUGAAGAAAAAUUAAUUAAAAUAAGCUCAGCUUUAGGCAUGGAUUUUUCCUCGUCUUUGAACCGAUCCUCAAAAUUAGAUGAACUCCUCUUUUCCAAUAAGCUAGUUAUAGCUACCAAGGACGCCUUGGACACCAACUCUUCCUUGUGUAAAUUAGUUAUGGAGCGUCCAAUAACUAACCCUUACCGAUCGAACAACCACGAAAUGUUUCGUGAUUUAGAACUCCUGCAGCUUUGCGUUCUAGAAGAGCCUAGCUCGAACCAAUGCCCUCAACCGCGUGGGACAUUUAAAUCCAGUUACUACUUCCCUUGACGGAACCAAACAGCAAUCUCCACUUGGCACGCCAAUGUGUUCACAGAAAACCGAUUGGAAACGUUCCUUUCGGAAUUCCAACUGUACGUCUAACCACACUAAAUCAAACGACGUCUUUUUUGACUUAAUGUUGAUCUGACUUUGUGAGUUGACAAAAUCAUACUCUUAAUCCGAAGAAAUAAUAAGUACUGGAAUUUAGGGUGUGUAACUCACGGGUUUUGUCGAGGCUAAUUCCGGCCUAAAGCUGAAAUGGAUACUUAAUAAAAAAAACUUGGUAAUAAAAAACUUGAUUAAUAACUUGAUUCAAGACUUGAUGAUAAAAUGAACAAAGUAGUCCACUAUUUAUACUAGUGGCUUUGCUAAAUUAAGAGCCAACUAGUAUAGAAAAUCAAGGAAUAAAAUAUUAAAAAUCCCUACAUAAUCUCCCACUAAGUCAACAAAAAUUUCAGCUAAUUAAUCUUGGAAAAAUUCUGCUUUGGUCCUCCUUCUUUGCUUCUUUCUUCAAUCUAGCCCAAUUGUCUCAUUUUUCUUCUAUUUAGCCCCAAAUUGCACUCCUACACAAAAUUCAACAAAAACAUGGAAAAAUUAGUGUUGCACUCUCAUAAAUUAACCAAUUUAAUUACAUAAAAUAUGUAACUUUAACAUUUAAUGAAUUAUGAUUUCUAUUUUCUAAAUAUUUGUAUAAUAAAAUUAUUAAAAAAUAAUUAUAUUUGUAUUGAUAAUAUUUUCUUAUUAAAUGAGUUUUAUAAGUUAAAUAGCAAUCAAACCAAGACUGGGAGACUGAACUGCAUUAGGUCUUGGGGGUGAUCCAUCGCUUCAACCACUAUCUACUAUCCACCAUCCACCAUCUACAUCCUUCCCCUAUAUAAACUCUGCAAAUAUAUAUAUAUAGAGAGAGAGAGAGAGCGACACACACACACACAAAUUAUGGAAGGCAGGAAAGUUAGAUAUCAAAUACGGUUGCAUGGUGGUUUCACAGCCGCUAUUUCAAAAUAGCUAAAGAUCUCAUUAGUUGUGUGAACAAAUUUCAUAUGUUCUUCGAAAUCCAAAGCAGAAAAAUCACAUACAGAGGCUGGGAUCAGAUAACUGAUACUCAUGUACAAAUUUAAGGGCUUCGAAUUUACCUCAUUUGAUCAGAGUCGUGGUGAGAUGCUCGUUUGGGACAAAGAUCCGUACGAAGAGAGAUGAGGGUAGGAAGGAGUUCUUAAAAAACACAAAGGGUUAAAAUCUUCUAUUAGUCCCUGUACUUUGUAAAAGUUGUGAAUUCAGUUCCUAUCUUUUAAUUUGAAUAAUUUCAGUCCCUUUACUUUUUGAAGUAGUAGUUACAUCCAUUAAGUUCAAUUACUAGUAUUGCACUACACGUAUGGUUGUAGGCUUAGUCUAUAUGCCCUAAUUGGAUCAUUCUAAGUCUCUAUACUUUUUAAAUUUUAAAAUUUUAAUCUCGAUGUAAAUGAUAGUUAUUAAUCAAUUAAUUAGAUUUUUAGUGAGUAAUAUGCGAAAAUAAAAAAAGCUAACAUGACAUUAUACAUAGGAUAAUAUGUAGAUUUGGAUUUGGAUCUUUGGGAACAUGUAGAAGAGGAUUACGAGGUCCCACCACUUCCAGCAAAUCCUACUGUGGCACAGAUUAAAGCACAAAAGGAAAAGAAAACAAGGAAAUCAAAGGCAAAAUCUUGCUUAUUUGCAGCUGUGUCUCAAAUGAUUUUUACACGAAUAAUGUCUCUGAAAUCAGCAAAGGAAAUUUAGGAUUACCUCAAGGCUGAGUAUGAAGGAGAUGAGAGGAUUCGUAGAAUGAAAGUCCAGAAUCUAAUCAGGGAUUUCGAGUUGCAGAAGAUAAAGGAGUCUGAGUCAGUGAAAGAAUAUUCUGACAGACUUCUCAGUAUUGCCAACAAGGUGAGAUUGCUUAGUUCUGAGUUGAACGACUCUAGAAUCGUAGAAAAGCUACUGGUCACUGUUCCAAAGAAGUUUGAAGCCACCAUUACUACUCUGGAGAACACCAAGGACAUGUGUCAAAGAUCUCUCUUGCAGAGCUCUUGAAUGCUUUACAAGCACAAGAGCAAAGAAGAUCCAUGAGGCAAGAGGGAGUGAUAGAAGGGGCCUUACCUGUCAAGCAUCAAGACAAUAAUAGGUAUAAAAAGAAGAAAAAUUUUAAGAACCAGUCGACGAGCGGAGAAAAUUCAUCAGGCAAUUAUCAGAAGAGCAAAAGAGGAGGUGUCAAGAAAUCCUACCCACCUUGUCACCAUUGUGAGAAGAAAAGUCAUCCACCAUUCAAAUGUUGGAAAAGACCUGACGCCAAAUGCUCCAAAUGCAAUCAACUUGGACAUGAAGCAGUGAUUUGCAAGGUCAAAGGCCAGGUGCAAGAACUAGAUGCACAGGUAGCUGAUCAAUAAGAAGAAGAUCAAUUGUUCGUGGUUACUUGUUUCUCAGGCAGAGAAUCAAGUGAGAGCUGGUUGAUUGAUAGUGGGUGCACAAAUCACAUGACGUAUGACAAUGAGCUCUUCGAGGAAUUGAGAACACUGAAGUCAAAAGAGUGAGGAUUAGAAAUGGUGAGUACUUGGAAGUCAAGGGAAAAGGCAUAGUAGCUAUUACAAGCUAUGAAGGUACAAAAUUCUUUUCAGAUGUUUUGUUUUUACCUAAAAUUGAUCAAAAUCUCUUAAGUGUUGGUCAGUUGCUGCUGGAUAAAGGCUAUAAAGUGCUAUUUGAAAAUAAGCAGUGCUUGAUCAGAGAUGCUAAUGGCAGAGACUUGUUCAAUGUCAAAAUGAAAUGAAAAGUUUUGCUCUUAAUCCAAUGGAAAAGGAGCAAAUGGCUUUUAAAUCCAGAGUUAGUGCUACUGAGACUUGGCACAAGAGACUUGGGCACUUUCACCAUCAAGGAUUGCUUUAAAUGUAGUCGAAGAAGCUGGUGGAAGGACUUACAGACAUUGAUGAUGAUCUACCUCAUUGUCGAGCUUGCAAAUUUGGGAAACAACAUAGACAACCCUUUCCUAAACAAGCCUGGAGAGCCUCGAAGAAGUUACAACUUGUUCAUACUAAUCUUUGUGGUCCUCAGAGAACGCCUUCGUUAAAUGGUAGCCUCUAUUACAUAGAAUUUAUUGAUGAUAUAACAAGAAUGUGUUGGAUUUUUUUGUUGAAACAAAAAUUAGAAGUUGUUGGUGUGUUCUAGAAAUUCAAAGCUGGAGUUGAGAACGAAAGUGGAUGCAUGAUUCAGAUUUUAAGAUCUGAUAAUGGCAAGGAGUACACUUCAGAAACUUUUAAUAGUUUUUGUGAAGAGGCUGGAAUUGAGCAUCAGUUGACGGCGCCAUACACUCUACAACAAAAUGAAGUCAGUGAAAGGAGGAAUAGAUUCAUAAUGGAGAUGACUCGAUGUAUGCUUCAUGAGAAGAAUCUUCCAAAAGGAUUUUGGGGAGAAGCUGCAAACGCUGCUGUGUUCUUGCAAAAUCAGAUUUCAACAAAAGCUGUGAAGGAUCAGACGCCAUUUGAAGCUUGGUAUGGUUACAAACCCUCUUUAAAGUUUCUUAGAGUGUUUGGCUGCCUGUGUUUCACUUACAUUCCAUAGGUCAAGCAUGAUAAGCUUGACAAAAAGGCAGAAGCUGGCAUUUUUGUUGGGUAUAGCAUUGUAUCUAAAGCUUACAGAGUCUUUCAACCACACACUGGACGUGUUACUGUGAGCAGAGAUGUUUAUUUUGUUGAAAAUAAGCAAUGGAAUUGGGAAGACUCGACCAAGGUGAACCAAACUUAUAGUGUACCAAAUCGUUUUACCAUUGGCAGCAUGUUAGAAGAGCUUGAAGAUGAAGGGCAAGAUGUUUUGGCUGAUGAUGCACCUGUCAGAGGUACAAGGCUGCUCUCAGACAUUUACCAAAGAUGUAAUAUGGCUAUUUGUGAGCCUGCAGGGUAUGAUGAUGCAAAAAAACAGUCAACAUUGGAUGACUGCAAUGAAGGAGGAGCUUGCGAUGAUCGAAAAAAACAAAACUUGGAAGUUGGUUGAUCGACCUCUGGACAAAAAGAUAAUUGGAGUUUGCAACAUCUAAACAAGGAGUGUUAAGAUCAUGUGUUUAAGAUUGCUGCCAUUUAAUUUUUUCUGUUACUAAAUUUGAAUAAUUCUCCUUGACUUUAGGAGAUUAGAUUUUUGAUUUGUUUGCUAUUUUGUUACCAAAUUUUUAGCAGUUUUUUAGAACCUUUUUUUCUAUUUUUAGCUUGAACUUUUGUAUUUAAAUAGUUGAGGUGCAAAUCAAUUAUUUAUUCAAGUCUUCAAUUAUUUUUCUAUUUAAAAACUUCCCGUCUCUUCUUUCUACUUCAAAUCUCUCGAUCAACCAUCAAAGUUCGAGUUCUAAACAUCAACAGUAUCUUUAAUUAUAUAGCAACAACUCUGAUAAGAUACAGAUAGAAACUUUUGUCUAUUAAAUAUAUAAAGUGACUAUGCAAUUGAUAAUCAUAUACAAUAAUCAACAUUUGACUAAACUUUGCAACCUAUACAAGUUUUUUUGGGAUUUCGACAAAAUAUAAACAUAAACCCCGAGAAGAUACGUAAAACAUUUACUCAUCCAUGGCAACUGACUGAAAAAAUUUGGGUUGUCAUCUUGCUCAUAAUCAUAUACAAGGUCAAUACCAAAUUCUAGCACAGAUAAAUCUGAAAGAACCCGAAGACUAAUAUGAUCACCAGCUUCUAAUUCAUCACCCCUAAAGUUCCAACAAGUCGUCCAGUAUAAGGUAUUCUUAGUUUCAGGAAUUCCCAUAAAAUGUUUGGAGUAGGUCCACUUUGUACCUUUGGUCUCGUUCACAAUUUCAAGGCAUGGUAAAAAUCCAUAUGUUUUAUCAUUCUUGGCAGAAAAAAUGAUAAUCGAAUUUAAGAAGCAACUUAUCUUUCGACUAGAUUUUGGGGGCACUGAUAUUGAAAUCUCAGUCUUGCCAGCUUGAUGGCCAAAGUAAUGACCAUGGUAAUCAAAUGGCAACGGAUCAAAUGUUGUAAUUAUACCGUAAUCAUAUAAUACCUGUAGCAUUGGGUUAGAGAAUGAGUUAUUAAAAAGUAUAUAGUAUAUAAAUAAUUUUAAAAACUUGGAACUUGUAAAGGGAACCUGUGGGGAAGCUACCACUUUUGAUUCUUCUAUAUAACUGCAAAGUUGCACUUUAACAUUUCCAUAAGAUUCCAAACUGGGCAAGUGUUUAGUUAGGUCCAUCUUGAUAUUUCUUGUGGAAACUUCAUCUCCUAAAAUAUGUACAAUAAUGUGUUAUUUAUCAAUUUUAGUGAUCAUCAACAUAAUAUACUUAUUAGAAAGUAAUAGUACUGACUUGAAUGGAGUGAUAAUUAAAGCUUUUAUCAGACACCUAUUUGACACGAAUUCAAAUAGUGACCCAUAUAUUGUAUGAAAAAAAGAUAUCAAAGUAGUAAUGUUAUUAUCACUAAAAUGUAUUCUAAGACUUAUCAGAAAUAAUCAGUUAUACACAUUAUAUCUUUAUUUUUCAUUUUUAUACAAAAUAUAAACUUUAAAACUAUUAAAUAUUUUAAUCAAAACACCACUUUUAUAAUUUUAUCCAUUAUUUUAGUUUCCACUUCUAUUAGAACUAUUGGAUUAAUCAUUUAUCAAACAAUUAACUUAUUUUCAUUAGACCCCAAUUGCAGUAUAACUUUAUAAUUAUCAUUUUAUUAUUAAGCUAAAUUUCUCUCAUAAUCUAUUAAAUUGUCACAUUUCUUGAUAAUUUUUUUUAUUGUAUUAGAAAGUCUUUUAGAGAAACAUUCAUCAUUUCUUGAACAUUUGUUAUUCACAUAGAAAAUGAAAAAUAAAAUAAAUAUAAUAGGAUGUAUUCACUAAAAUAUAAUUAUUUGAAGUCCACUCAUACCUGUAGAUAAGUGCGAAAAGCCAUAUUCAUAUCUAAUGUUGUGUUCUGAUUCAUAAGUAACGCCAAAUUUUCUUAUGCUGAGAUGAAUAGGCACUACCAUGCAACUCACAAGGUCACCACCUUCAAACUGACAGUCCGUUACUGGCCAAUGAAUCAACCACAACAUUGUGUUAUCGUUAGUCUCAGGAAUUCCAAUGAAACUUGAGCGAUAUCUCUGCAUGAUCAUUUUGGUCUCAUUGAAAAUGUGGACACUUGGUAGAAGCUCCAACAUUUGGUCACUAGCUACAGAGAAAACAAUGCAUAAGCUGAACUGAUGGAUCUUUUCAUCUGGAUGAGAUGGUGUUGGCAAAAAAAAAGAGAUUUGAUGCUCGUUAGUGCCAUGCUUAAACCCACUCGGAACUUCACUUCCUAUAAAAAAUGUGCUUGUUAUACCACAUUCUUGCAAGACCUGAUCCAAAAAAACAAGUUAGAUGAUUAAGUAGUGUAAGAGAAAAAAUAGAUUUAAAAUUUAAGUUGGAGAACUAUUGGACCUGUGGGGUAGCUAGCAUUAUGCUGUCUGUUAGGUAGCUAUAAAGUGGCAGUCGAUUUCUGUUAAUGGAAUCUACGUUGAAUAAUCUUCUAAUCUCUUCUGCUUCAAAGUUUUCAAUUGGUUCCAACUUGAAUAGAUCUUCAACCUCCGUCAAUUUUUCACAUCCAAAAAUAUCACAUCGUGUGGAAGAAAAGAAGCAUGGAAGAAUUGCCCCAUAUCCUUUAAAUGGAGAUACUGUCAAGAACUCAAAAACAUUGGGCAAGACUGGAAGCUUUGGAAUCUUUUGGAGUUCAGUGCAAGAAGUCAGUAGAAGCUCAUCAAGUUUUGUAAGGUUUUUUAAGCUUUCGGGUAGGUAAUGAAUUGGGUUUCUACUUAAAUUUAAGGAUUUCAAGGAAGCCAAGUUACAAAGAGCAUUGGGCAUGACAUCAUUAGAUAAUUUGCAACUUCCAAGGCUUAACUUUACCAAAGAGCCCGGUAGAGAUGCCCAAGAGAAACCCAAUCCUUUGCUUCUUUUCUGUAAAAGCCACUGCAACCCCAAUCUUGAUUGAUAUAUGGCAGUUUCAUCUAAAUUAAGCACCUUCAAUGAUUCCAUAUUAUGCAACUCCCUAGGAACAUCAUCAAGUCUUGAACAACCAGAUAAGAUAAGCUCUUCAAGUGAUAUUAAUGAACCAAUUGUCCUUGGAAGUUUCCUAAGACUUGUGCAAUCUUUAAGGUUCAAGAAAGUAAGCAUCUUUAGCUCACCAAUGGAUUGAUCAACUUCCACCAAAUUUAUGCAAUCUUUGAGCAUCAACUUCUCAAGGCUAGGGAGUCCUGAAAAGGUUGGGGUUUUAAGAAGGCUAUGUGAAUGGUUGAGAUUAAGGAUCUUUAAAUUUGGGAGACACUGCAAAAAAAGAAAAACCCUUCUGUUAUAAAUGUAUUAUUGUUUCACACACACACAAAGAAGAAGGGAAAAGUAGUAUACAUCAUACCUCUGUAUCCUUCCAAACUUGUUUAAGUUUACUGUUGCGCAUGUCGAGAACAACUAGUUCAUUGAUAUCAAAAUCCACCGGAAAAGAUUGCAUCCAAAACCCAUGCCAACGUAACCAUCUUAAUCUUUUGGGGAAGUCUUUGAAGUCUCCUUUAAGUCUUACAUAAUCCAGUUGAAGCAGUUUAAGUCUCUUCAUCUUUGCAAAUGCUUGAGUUUCCAUAUCAACAUCAUUUGCCAUCAGAAACUGACUUUUGGAAUGCUUUGGAAAAUGUAGAGUUGUAUUUGUCCUUUUAGCCUUGUCUNNNNNNNNNNNNNNNNNNNNNNNNNNNNNNNNNNNNNNNNNNNNNNNNNNNNNNNNNNNNNNNNNNNNNNNNNNNNNNNNNNNNNNNNNNNNNNNNNNNNAGGCACUUAACUGUUCUGGAACCCUGCAUCAGAAAAACUUUUUUAAAAAAUAAAAAGAAAUUUGAUAAAAAAAGUAGUUUACAUGCACACAAGAAAAAAGUUGAGUAAAAUGAUGUUUCUUACAAUUUUUUCUCUUAUUACAUCAAACGCGUUCUUAUGCCACAAUCUGCUUCGUUUCCCAAUAUCAGAAGAUUCUUGACGAAUAAUUUCUCGUCCCAUAUCUCUAAUCAUUUGGUGCAUCAUUAGCUUAUUUUUUUCAUUAAUGAUUAAGAGAGACCUACCUACUAGAUUUUCAAUUCCAAUUGUUGUAUAAUAAUCACAACCAUCUAAAAUUGUAGUCAUGUAAUCUCUAUCCUUCCCAAUGAAUAAACAAACUAUGUCAAGGAAAAAAUUUUUGUCAUGAUCGUCUUCCAAAGAAUCAUAGCUUAUUCUUAGAAUCUCUUGAAUUUUGCUGUCAGGGAUUUCUUCCAAUUUCUCCAAUGCACUUUUCCAAGAACUCACACUUUUGCUAGAUAAUGAAGAGCCCAAAACUUGAAGAGCUAACGGAAGCCCACCACAGUGUUUCACUAAACUUCUUGCAUAUGCCAUCGAACUUUCAGGCACAGAGUUAUGACCAAAAGCAUACCAAUUAAAAAGUUGUAGCGAUUCACUUGAAGCUAAUUCUUUUACUUCAAAUAGCUUGCUUAAGCCUCCACAGCUAGUUGAUGCUUCCAAAUCAAACAUUUGGCUUAUAAAAUGUGCAUUCAAUAGGCAUCGGUUUCUACUAGUUAUGAUGAUUUUACUUCCCGGAUGAAAAGGAAUUUCGAGUUCCCAUUAAUUUUCUUAUUNNNNNNNNNNNNNNNNNNNNNNNNNNNNNNNNNNNNNNNNNNNNNNNNNNNNNNNNNNNNNNNNNNNNNNNNNNNNNNNNNNNNNNNNNNNNNNNNNNNNNNNNNNNNNNNNNNNNNNNNNNNNNNNNNNNNNNNNNNNNNNNNNNNACUAAACCAUUGCAAUCUUGACUUGUUUCUCUAACAUCAGCAAGGAAACUAUAACUUUCAAACCUCGGGAUGUUUUGAUUGUAAACAACUUUGGCAAUGGUUGUCUUCCCAAUGCCUCCAAUGCCACAAAUAGUUGCAAUGCCAACUUUAUUUGCUCCAUCUUGUUCUAACCAUUGAUUAAUUUGUGUCACGAGAGAAUCUAUUCCAACUAAAUAAGGAGGGACAUAUAAAGAAAUAAGAUGAAGCUUAUUUUGAACUUCUUUAACAAUAUCUUGAAUGAAUUGUGAUUCAUGCCUGCAAAUUUAAAAAAUACAACUCGAUGGUAAAAUCUUGGAAAGUGAGUAAAAGUUAUUAAUGUAUUUUCUCUUUUUUUGCAUAUAUUUUGAUUGUUUUUAUGAGAUUAUAUGUUCAAAUAAAAAUAAGAAACUAAUGCAACAUUUUAACAUAUAUGAUAGAAUUAUUACAUUCAAAAUCAAAUCAAAUCAAAUAAAGAACAUAAAAAUUAAUGAAAUUCAUUUGAAACAACCUAUACUCAAAAUUUCAACUUUCUCUUUGUGAAAGUUUAAUAAAUUCAUGUUAUUUACAUGAAUUUAUAUAUUUAUUUUUUAUUCAUUUUAAUAUUUUGAAUAUGUGUAGACCUAUUACACGAAUAAUUUGGAUAUGAUUGUUGGAAAUAUACUACUGCAAAAUAGAAUUGUUACAGGAGACCAAACUGAAUGUAAAUAAAAUAAGAAUCACUCUGUCGUAGAAGAACCAUUGCAUUAGAGGCAAAAUGGCCCUGAUCGGUGUAAUCUCGCUUAAAACCUAAUCUCUUAGACAGAAUUUCCCUCUCGUAUAAUUUUGCAGAACACUAGAAUUUAGAGAACAUAGAGAAGUUGCUUUUCUCUUGUUGUGUUCUGUGAAAAAUGAGGAGAAUGACCUCCUAUUUAUACAGUUUUUUGAAGGGCAAAAUGGUAAAAUAAUCGUUUUAGUUUCCAAAAAUAGUAGAGGAUUUCCCUAACUGAAAAUAUUCUGAAAUAUAUUUUCUGCAACAGUGAGAGUAUUUUCCACAAUUGAAAAUAUUCUUUUGCAUUACCAACAAUGACAUCUUAACCACAAAUAGUGUCAUUAAUUUCAAGAGGCUACUUCUUUUUGUUUUCAACUCGUCAAAUCUAAGUUGCUCAUGUGAUAGGUGCAUACGUAUUUAAAAUUUGAUUUAUGUGUUUUAAAAACAUUCCACAUCAGAUUCGAGCUAACAUUUAAUGCUUAAACUGAUGACUUGUUUGAUAGACAGACCUUAUUGAUACAAUACUAAUACUUUAAUGACCCAAUUAAAACAUGUUAAUUUUUGAGAAAUAAUUUAAAACUUGAGUUAUAAUUAACCCUUUAAAAUGGAUUGAAGUAACCAUUUUAAUUUCCAAACGCUACCUAACAAUAUUUUCUAUUAAUUUUCUUUCUACUCUAUCAAGUCUUAAUGAAAAGGNNNNNNNNNNNNNNNNNNNNNNNNNNNNNNNNNNNNNNNNNNNNNNNNNNNNNNNNNNNNNNNNNNNNNNNNNNNNNNNNNNNNNNNNNNNNNNNNNNNNNNNNNNNNNNNNNNNNNNNNNNNNNNNNNNNNNNNNNNNNNNNNNNNNNNNNNNNNNNNNNNNNNNNNNNNNNNNNNNNNNNNNNNNNNNNNNNNNNNNNNNNNNNNNNNNNNNNNNNNNNNNNNNNNNNNNNNNNNNNNNNNNNNNNNNNNNNNNNNNNNNNNNNNNNNNNNNNNNNNNNNNNNNNNNNNNNNNNNNNNNNNNNNNNNNNNNNNNNNNNNNNNNNNNNNNNNNNNNNNNNNNNNNNNNNNNNNNNNNNNNNNNNNNNNNNNNNNNNNNNNNNNNNNNNNNNNNNNNNNNNNNNNNNNNNNNNNNNNNNNNNNNNNNNNNNNNNNNNNNNNNNNNNNNNNNCACCUCUAAAACUCAAGAAUACAUGAUAACUACAUCGCGAGAUUUCUGACAUUGCCAUUGAAGAAGAAAAUGAAGUCGUCCUGUGUUUAAUAACAAGGUUCCAGCAUAUCCAGCAUAUAUAUAUAUAUAUGAAUGGCAAAGCAGAUAUUAUUAGCAGUCAAGUGGCAGUUCCCAAUCCAUGGUGGGUCAAUCCUUCGACCAGUUCAUACAACUGCCCGAAGACAUUCAAGUCGGCCAUGUUGUGUUUUUCCAAAUCUACCAACUUGGGUUACGUAUUCUAUAUUAUUAAUUUUGCUUGACAAAUACAAUGUAUUGAUUAACUUGAUGGUUAUAGCUAACACAACACGUAUAUAGACAUCAUCUUCAGGCUAAUAUUAGUAAAAAUAUUAUGAAGGUUCUUGUAUUUUAAGUCAUAUUAUAUUUUGUUUUCUCUACUUAAAAAAUAUUAAAUUAAUUUUUGUAUAUUAUAUUAAAAAGUAAAUUAGUUCAUUUGUUAAAAAAAUUAUCUAUUGUUAUUGUUAAAAAUUGAUCUAUGUAAUCAACAUGAGGUAUAUGUGACACGCCACAUGCAACUAUCUGAUUAUUUCAUCAUUCAAUUUAGUUUUUAACAACAAAAAUGAAUGAAAUUUUUAAUAAAAAUGAUAAAUUUGUUCUUUUAUAUAAUGUAUAUGGACUAAUUUACUUGUUUUUAAAUAAAAUGGGUUAAGUACAAUUUGACUCUCAAUAGAAUGAUCUCCAUGAUACUUUUACCGGCUAAUACCUUGGUGGAUACACUCAAUAAUUAAACCACAACCACAUAUAUCACAUAGACAUCACAUUAAACAUUCAAGCUUGGUAUAGUAAAGAGACAAUUUUAGUAUCUAUGCAUGAAUGAAGAAUUAAUUAUUUUUGGAAAAGAAUUGGUGAUUAAAUUGAUCAGAUCAUCAAUUUUUUAUUUGAUUUGUUCGUGUUAUCUAAAAUAAAUAAAUUUUUAAAGACUAAAAAAAUAAUAAAAAUUCACUUAUAUUGCACAUUAAAGUAAAUUGAAAAUGUGGAAAUUUAGCGAGGGACAUAAGAGAAGAAGAAUAAUUCCGAAGUAUUUGGUGUGGAAAAUAUUGGUNNNNNNNNNNNNNNNNNNNNNNNNNNNNNNNNNNNNNNNNNNNNNNNNNNNNNNNNNNNNNNNNNNNNNNNNNNNNNNNNNNNNNNNNNNNNNNNNNNNNNNNNNNNNNNNNNNNNNNNNNNNNNNNNNNNNNNNNNNNNNNNNNNNNNNNNNNNNNNNNNNNNNNNNNNNNNNNNNNNNNNNNNNNNNNNNNNNNNNNNNNNNNNNNNNNNNNNNNNNNNNNNNNNNNNNNNNNNNNNNNNNNNNNNNNNNNNNNNNNNNNNNNNNNNNNNNNNNNNNNNNNNNNNNNNNNNNNNNNNNNNNNNNNNNNNNNNNNNNNNNNNNNNNNNNNNNNNNNNNNNNNNNNNNNNNNNNNNNNNNNNNNNNNNNNNNNNNNNNNNNNNNNNNNNNNNNNNNNNNNNNNNNNNNNNNNNNNNNNNNNNNNNNAUUACCAUUAGCAAUUAAAGAGGGGCUUCAACAAAAUUAUGGCCCCAACUGUUUCACCUAACAUAAUAAAUUCGUGGACUAACCAAUUUCAGUGCAAUAAAAGUAGUGAAGAGGAUGGGAUAAGGUUAAGGUUUACAUUGUUGGUAAUGCAAACUAGAAUCCCUCGUUACAGCCUUCAAAUUUUUUGGUUCACAAUAUUUUAGGAAGAACUAGAUUCAAAUAAUAUUUUUCCGUGAUUAUUUUUUCAAUAAUAUCAUCUUUAAAGUUUAGAUCUAUACUUUUUAAAAAAGUAUAAUAUGUCUUACCAUUAUGUCUAACACUCAAAUAAUAAUGUUAACAAAAAGGUUGAGCACCAAAUGGUUGAUAAGUACUAACAAGCUCAUGGUCUAAAGUAGAGGUGUCCAUGGGCCGGGCGGCCCGACCUUGCCCGACCGCCCGCCCAAAAUAUGGGAGGGUUCGGGUAAAAAUAUAGGCCCCAAAUAUGGGUUUGGGCAAACGAGGCCCGUUUAGAAAAUGGGCCGGGCCACGGGUAUCUCUUUUUGGCCUAGGCCCGUCUCGGCCUGAAUAUAAUAAAUAUAUUUUUUAUUUUUUUAUUUUAAAAUAUUUUUAAAAUACUUUUUUUAUUUUUUAUUUUUAAAAUAAAUUUUUUGUGUUUAUUAAAAAAGGGCCAGGGCGGGCUCGGGCUUAGAAUUUUUUUCCCAGCCCGGGCCUGGACAAAUUUUCAUGCCCAUAUUUUGGGUCGGGCCUGGCCCGGGCCUAGGAUGCAGCCCGAAUUUUUUUCUGGACUCGACCUGAACCCGGCCCGGUCCAUGGACACCUCUAGUCUAAAGUCUAGAUCGAGUAGCACUAUUAUCCAAAACAUAGUGAAACAGAUUAAUUCUUUCUUCGACGUUUGUUAUAUAGAACUCUACAACCUAGUGCUCCUAAUUAUCAAUUUUAUUCUUGUGACUCCAUAAUUAAAAUUUAGCUGAUCCCUUCAUUCAAGAGUGUAAUUAUUCGAAUAGGAUCAUGUCUCUUUUAUGGUGGAACACUAAUUCAUUUUAUUACUUGGACUUGUUCAUAAAAAUUCUCUUAAAAUAUCGAAUAAAUAUCAGUUAGGUGUUCUGAUGAUUUAAAUAUUUAGUUUUUAAGAGAAUAUAUUCUUACCUCGUUAUGCCUUCUCGAAGAUUUAUGUCAAAUUCAAACUGAUGUGAGUUGGCAGCUAUAUAUUUUUAUUUUUAAGGAUUUUAGUCCCUCUAUUUUUUGAGAUUUCUAAACUCAAAUCCAAUUGUUAACACUGUUAAUUUUUUUUGUUAAAUUUGAGUUAAUUACAAUAUCAUUUUUGUAAUUACAUGGUUAUCAAAUAGGUUUUUUUUUAUUUCAAAAUGCCACCCUAACACAUUUAACAAAAAAAAUUUAAAAUGUUAACCAUCAGAAAGUAAAGAGACUAAAUUUCUGGAAAUAAAAGUACGUGUUCUAAACUCCAAAAUUUUUAAAAGUACAAGAACUUAUGGCAUAUUUUAACCUUUUAACUUCUGGGUCGAGCUACUCAUCCAAUCCCCGCUUGAGAUUUGGGAAGAUUUAGACAAAAUUAUCAAGCUCAAAAAAUGGACUUGGACAAAAAGUUAGUCCGAUUUAAAAUACGAGUGGGGCUCGGGCAUAAAAAUUCAAGGCCCGAGCCAUUUACUAAUUUUCUAAUAUAUUAUAUUAUGUUAUUUUUAUAAAUUAUAUAAUUUAUUUCAAAAAAUAAAUCUAUAGUAAUACAUAUGAUAGUACUAUAAUGUAAACAUUAAAAAAUGUUAAGAUGUCUAUAUAAAAUGUUAAGAUAUUUGGGAAAAAAUUCAAUUCAAUCAGGCUCAAAACAAUUUGUGGGUCAAUUAAUUUAACAUCUCUAUUCAAAUCAACAAUGGCAAAACCUAAUAGAGGCCCAGGGGGCCAUGGCACCCCCAAGGAUUAAAUUUUUUGCAAUUUAGCCCUUUGUAGAUAUACUAUGGCCCUCCCAAACAUAUAAGUAGCCCCCCCCCCAAGGUUUAAGAUUUUUGCAAUUUAAUUUCCAAAUAUACUGCUUCUUUUGGAUUGAUUAUCAUGUUGGAAUAGUGCUUCUUUUGAGUCGAUUCUUUGUAUGUUUAAAUCGAUUGUCAAAUUAGAACACUACUUCUUUUGAAUCGAUUGUGUAUAUGAUUAAAUUGAUUGUUAUGUUGGAAUACUGCUUCUUUUUAAUUGAUUGUGUAUAUGAUUAAAUUGAUUGUUAUGUUGGAAUACUACUUCUCUUGAAUCGAUUGUUUAUAUGUUUAAAUCGAUUGUUACAUAACACAUCUAAUUAAUUUGUUCUUUGCUUCUUUGAUUGUUGCGUAGCAUUUCCUUUUAUUCUCUACUUCUUUGAUUGUUGGUUGUUUUAAAUAGCUUCUUUUCCUAAAAUGAUAAGGGACCAAAUGAAUAUCAGCAAAGAAUUUAUGUUGGAGUUUGAAUCGAUUCUUCGCUUAUUUCAAUUGAUUGUUUGUUGUUUUGAAUUAAUUCAUUAUUGUUUGAAUUGAUUCAAACUCCUACAUAAAUUCACUAUUGAUAUUCAUUUGGUCCCUUAUCAAUAUUAACUUACACAGAUGUGUGUAAGUUCUUUUUCCCUCAAACCUCCUGUUGAACGUGUGAAGCAAGCAAAGGUAUAUUUAUGGUUAUUCUUACUCUAGAAGAGAAAUGAUUCCUCAUACUUUAUACAGUGUAUUUACAUAUUUGCCCUCAACCGAAUAUUGAGGGAAUCUCCCUUCACUUUUGACACGUUCAAUAGAAAGUUUAAGGGAAAACAACUAAUUUACACCGGUGUAUAUAAGUAUUGAUAACUCUUUGAUACAAUAGAUUAAAUCGAAAAAUCAUUAUAUAGUAUUUUCCUAUACUAUGUGUUAUGUUUAUUAAUAAAACAUAUUUUUAAUUUAAAUGAUAUACUAAAAAUUGCUCAUCCACACAAUCAUUGAUAUGUUGAUUUAGGAUCCAAACUUGAAUCAUAUAUUCUUACGUAGUGAAACUAAAAAAGGCCUCGUCGCCAUUCUCCAUCUAUUCCUAUAUAUUCAUCUGUUCGGAAGAAACUGAACUUAACAAAACACCAUGAAAGCAUAAUCGAUAUUUUUUCACUUUUAAGAAAUAUAAGUUGUUAAUAAUAUCAAACCCAAUAAUACAAUAUAUCAACAAUCAAACCAAAUCAACGACCAUACCACAAGCAAAAACAUAAAAUCAAUUCAUUUGGAAGGGUCUUCCACCUCAUUAUGUGCAUGAUUUUCAUACGAAUCCAGUUGCAAAGUAACGGUGUUUAACACUUUGAAUCGAUUCAAACUCCAACAUAAAUUUACUAUUGAUAUUCAUUUGGUCAUUUAUCAAUACUUGCACAACAUUUGUCCCUUAUCAAUACUUGCACAAAAAUAACUUGUGAAUACUGCUUUUUUCGAAUAGAUUGUUUGUAUGUUUAAAUUGAUUGUCAUGUUGGAAUAUUGCUUCUUUUGAAUCGAUUGUUAUGGUGGAAUACUACUUCUUCUUUUUAAUCGAUUGUUUAUAUGUUUAAAUCGAUUGUUAUGUUGGAAUAUUGUUGCUUUUGAAUCAACUGUUUAUAUGUUCAAAUUGGUUGUUAUGUUGGAAUACUACUUCUUUUGAAUCGAUUGUUUAUAUGUUUAGAUCAAUUGUUACGUAGCGCAUCUAAUUUUAGCUUGGCCCCCAAGAUUAACAUCAUGGCUCCGCCACUACGGAUCGAUAUAUAGGUCAAUUCUUGAUUCAAUUGAUCAACUAAUCCUAUUUAAUCCGAUUUAAAUAACUAUGCCACAUAUAUACAUAUUUCUAAAAUAAUAUGUUAGUAUAAAAAUAUUUAAUCAAUUUGAGUUAUGAAAUUGUCGUCUAACAAUAGUUUUGGGUAUCUUAUAAACUCAAAAUUUUCAAAUUAUGUUGGUGUCCAUUUGUGCUUUAUUUUUGGUACAAGCUCUUUUUGGAGUUAUACCAUACAUUAUAUAAUUUAAAAUAUUCUUAAAAAAUAGAUUGAAGUAAAUUAAGCCUAAAAUUUAAAUGUUUAAGUCAAAGCUUAAUUGAUAGUUUAAAUGAGAUUAUUCUUUUUUUUAAAUCUCAUUUUUUUAAUUUUAUCAAACCACCUCUAAAAAAUAAAUAAAAGAUGGUUGUUAGCCUUUUCCUAUAUAUGAGCAACAAUCUUUGGGCAGAGUAUAAAAGAUAGUUUAAGGUAUCUGAUUUUGUAGUAGUGACUAAUCUUUUCAUUGUUACUGCUUUUCAAAAGGUAAUAUGUAAAAAAUGGUAAUAUAUAAUUUACUUAUAAUUAUGGUACGUUUAGUUCGUUAGAGUGAAAUAAAAUUAUAAUAGAAUAAUAACUAUUAGGAAUGAAAUAGAAUUGUAAUUGAAUGGAAUAAAUAUGAUAAUUUGGUUGGGUAGAAUGAAUGAGCUGGUAAUAAUAUUUUUGUAUCUUGAUUUAAAAAAAUGAUAGUAAAAAUCGGCCAUUUUACCAAAAAAGCCCUUUUUUAAAAAUUACCGAAAUGGGCCCAUUAUUUAAUUAUUUACCGGAAUGGUCCAUUUUUCAGCAAAUUGCGUCCACGUCAGCGCGAUGUCAAGGGACGCGUGCUGACGUGGCCGCGAUUUCCUUCGCCACGUAGCGCAUUUCUGGGGACGCAUUUCGGCUUUUAGGGCUUAGGGUUCAGGCUUUUAGGGUUUUUAGGUCUUGGAAGAAAUAAUUUCGAGUUGAUGUUUCUGAUCAAAUAGUAUAAAAUCGCUUCUAACAGGAUGCUAUUUGAGAAGAAUUUGUGAAAUUGCGCCCUCGUGGACGCGCUUUUGCUACAGUAGGUCAUGGAAGAAAUAAUUUUUUUGACGUUUCUAAGCAAAUAAUAUAAAAUCGCUUAUAGCAGGAUGCUAUUUGAGAAGAAUUUGUAAAAUCGCACCCUCGUGGACGCGCUUUUGCUACAAUCGGUCAUGGAAGAAAUAAUUUUUUUGACGUUUCUGAGCAAAUAGUAUAAAAUCGCUUCUAGCAGGAUGCUAUUUGAGAAGGAUUUGUGAAAAUCGCGCCCUCGUGGACGCGCUUUUUCUACAGUAGUAUGUUUAGGCUGAGGCUAUAAAUUAGGCAGAAAAUGCUCUCAGAAUGCAUAAGUCACAGCAGAAAUAAUUUAGAGAGGCUAAAAAGGUUAGAGUUUCAAAUAUGAGUGAACGUAUUAGUGCUGUUAUUUACUACGAUGGUGAGGUUUGCCACACUGAGAAUGGUGUUAUUUUUUUGUAGGAGAAUACGGUGUGACUGGUUUUUAACCAGAACAUAGAUUUGACAGAACUUCGUAAAAGAAUUAGGCGUAAAAUUUUCAGAACGACGCCAAUGAAAGUUUUGUCUAUCACAUAUCGAUUUUGUUCUUCUGUUGAUCCGGUGACAUAUGACUCGUUCGACAUAAAAGGUGCUCAUAGCCUAGAGGCAAUGGUGCAGACUCAUCUUGCUAGUGGAGCACCUUAUAUUGAGUUAUAUGUACAAUUUACAUCGCCAACUAAUGUACUUUCGACCGGUGUUCAAGAUGUAUACACGACCCCUGGCUGACACUCGGUUAGCAGGUUACAAAAUACGGAACAGCCCAUGUUCGGUAGCGGUGUCGAAUGCACAUCCCCCGCGAGACACUCUGUCGGUGGAUGAGACAUCUACCUCAGUAGCUCGAUGUUUGAUGCUGGAAAUACGUACUGGGAACGGCAUCAAGUUCUAGUGGGUGGCAAUCUACAUCCAAUUGGGGACGUUAUCAAAUGCCCAGAAGAAGGAAUGACGUACUCCCUACGACGUCAACCGGUGAGGGGACCUCGUACGCUGCAGAUGAUUGUGGGUUAGAAGAUGACUCCGAUGUGGAUCCACUUCGAGAGCCCGGGCCGGAUGGUGCAGAAGUUGGCUAAUUUUCUGAACCGGAGCCUAUUCCAACAGAACCUGAAGAUGCUGAAAGGAGUUCAGAUGAAGAGGAAAACCCAUGAUUCAGAGCAUACUCACCUCCAGCCCACAUGCAUAAUGUCGAUCUGUCUGCAGAUGAUGCGUUAGAGUUUCCAGAUCUACCACACUGGUUGCGUGAUUGUACAAUUUCGGGGGCAGAUUUCGGUGAAUUUGAAGUUGGUAAUCAGUUUACCGACAAGGAUAGUUUUAUUGGUGCUUUGAAACAACAUAGCAUCAAAAACGUCAUUAACUACAACGUCGUUAAAUCCAAAUAUGAUAAGUUUGAGGCGAAGUGUGCGGUCCAAGAUGGCACAUGUUCAUGGAAAAUCUACGCCUCGUUAAGGAAAAAGGACAGGGUUGUGGGAGGUUAAAAAGUACAAAGGUCCACAUACAUGUGCUGCAGGUAUAGUAUUGACAGUUUCUGAAUAAUACUUUUAUUAUGCAAUGUUGCAUUAUUUAAUUUACUCGAUUUAUAGGUGUUUUACAAAAUCAUCCCAAGAUGGAUUCAGCUAUGUUAGCUAGCUUGAUACUGCCCACGGUAAAAGCAGAUCCCACGACUUCAGUGCCGGUGUUAAUUGCCAAUAUCCGUAGCCAAAUGGGGUACACGCCCUCUUACUGCAAGGCUUGGAUAGCUAAGCAAAAGGCGUUGGAGAAGAUGCAUAGUGGGUGGGACGCCUCAUAUAAUGAAAUAUGGCAGUGGUGUCAGGUGCUAGAGAGAUACGUCCCAGGUGCCAUCACAGACCUUGAAACGGAACAUGCGUACUACAACGGUCGAUUUCUACGUGGAUGCUAAGUGUUCAAAUGCCUGUUUUGGACCUUUAAGCAAUACCGAGACGUAUUUCCAUACUACAAGCCGUUGGUACAAAUUGACGGUACCUUCAUGUUCGGUAGGUAUACUCAUCGGCUAUUGCUUGGAGUGGCACAGGAUAGUGAUGGGAGAAUUCUUCCAAUUGCAUUUGCAAUAACACCGGGGGAGUCGUCUGAUGACUGGGAUUUCUUUCUCUCUAGGUUAAGGAGGCAUGUGUGCCCCCAACCUGAUAUCUGUGUUAUUUCAGAUUGGGGCACCGGUAUACUAGCUGCAUUUGAUCGACAGUGAAGCUUAUGGCAGCGCACACACCAUAUAUAUUGCCUAAGACACAUUGCUUCGAACUACUACAGGCAAUAUCCAUCUAAGAGCGAACGACGACAAGUGACCAACAUUGGUAUUUAGUCUAUAUCUGUGUUAUUUUGUUUGUCAAUUUGAAUUAGUUUUAUUGGUAGAAGUGGUAUAAAUUAUCGCUAUGAUCUUAUAUUGGCAGGGUAUGAAAUAAAUAAAGAUCGUUUUCACGAGAUGUUGGCAAUUUUACGUUCAAUUAACGGAGAAGGGGCGGACUACCUUUGUAACAUACGUUUCGAACAGUGGGCACAAGCAUACGACGGCGGCCUACGAUAUGGCCGUAUGACGUCAAACCUGACUGAAUGCAUAAAUUUUGUUCUUAAAUGAACGCGCCAUCUACCGAUAACAUCGGUUGUGCGAGAGACAUAUUUUCGGUUGGCGGCGCUAUUUCCAAAGCGAGCAGCAAGUUAUGCAGGUCAGAUGCAGGGAGGCCAUGUAUGGUGCAGUAAGGUAGUUCAAGAAAUUAACAAGGUCAAGGCGAGGGCAAACACCAUGCACAUAGUGUGUCACGAACGAGACAAUUUAUGGUUUCGCGUGACAGAGUUUGACAGACCGCACCAAGGUGUUGUUGGCGGGCAAUAUCGUGUACACUUGCGAAAUAGGACUUGUGACUGUGGGAUGUUUGAUGCACUUCGUUAUCCAUGCGUGCAUGUUAUUGCAGCUUGUCUGAAUCUCCGUCUGGAUUCGAUGAGUUAUGUGGACGAAGUGUACAAAUUAGAAAACAUGUACAACAUCUGGAGACACGUUUUCCCACCUGUCCCAGAUGAACGUAAGUGGCUGUCCGUAUCUCUUGCUCCUUUUAAGCUGUUUCCUGAUAGAGAAUUACGUCGCAAACCAAAGGGUCGACCUUGCUUGACUAGAAUACGUAACAAUAUGCAUAUCCGAGAAACAGCCAGUCAAACAAAGUUGUACGGAUGGUGUAGGAAUCCAGGCCAUACAAGUCGAUCAUGCCCUAAUCGUAAUAGUUGAAUGUAAUUGUAAAAAAAUUAAGUUUGUCAAAUUAUUAAUUGAUAAAUUGUAUUAAUGGUUAGUAAAAAUUUCAAAUUAUAUAAAAUUAUUAAUUGUUAGUGUUGACACCAUUUUUUGGAUAAAACGGGGUCGACUUGGGUUUUAAAAAUGAAAACGUAAAUUGGAGUCGCCACCGUUUGAUGAGGUGUGAUCGGAUCACCUCGAAAAGUGGUUCUUUUUAAUAAACGGUUUGAUUUUAUUAAAACAACAAGUUUGGUCCACGAAAUUCAGAAAAACAGGUUCGGGAGUCGGUUACACACGAGGAAGGAAUAGCACCCUCGAUACGCCUAAAAUUGGUACCUAGUUGAUUACUUAAUGUCUUAAUGUCAAAAAUUGAAACUUUGAAGAAUUUUAAAAAUACGAUCCUUAAUUUUCUUUGAAAGAAAUCGAGCUACUCGUUAAGACUUUUUCAUUUCAGAAAAAGAAAAUGUCACACCCAAUGCGUUAGAGUACGAUAUUUUACCUUUUCAGAAAUGAGAUAGUCUAAAACUCGCAUAGUAAAGUUUAAAAGGGUGUUUGAUUGUUUAAAUCAUAUGAAAAAAAAAAUUGCAACCCAAUACGUUAGGGUACAAUUUCUUCAAAUGUUAAACAUUGAAUAUUGCAUUUAUUUAAAAAAAAUCUUCGUUUCGAGAAAUCAACGUGUCAUGUCCAAUGCAUUAGGACACGACGUAUUGAAUUUUCGAUAAUGAGUUUUUAUAUAUGUCUUUUUAUAAAAAAAGAGUAACUUCGAUUAUUUAAAUUCAACAAAGAAAAUCGAAACCCAAUACGUUAGGGCUCGAUUUUCUCGAAGAUCUCAAAUACCGAGUGUUACUUUUAUUUUGAAAUUUUUCAUUUUUGAUAAAUCCGGGUAAAAAUGGAUGCAAAAUAAUGAUAACGAUGAUAAUGUAAGUAAAAUAAUGUGAGCAAAAUAAAAGAUAAAUAAAUAAUAAGACUAAUGUAAAAAAAAAUAAUCAUGCAAGCACAAUAACAAAUAAUAAAUAAAAAUUCUAAAGCAUAACAAAUAAUAAAAAUGAACAUGUAAAUAAAUAAAGAAAAUAAAAGAUAUUUAUGAAUUUUAAAAUAUAAAAAUAUAAGUAUUUACAUAUAUGUGCAUAUGUACAUAAAUAUAAGUUAUAUAAAAAUAUGUAAGUGUAUAAUGCAUAUAUGUAUAUAUAUAUGAAAUAAAAAUAAAGCUAAAAUAAAAUAAAACUAAUUAAUAUAUUAACACAAUAGUCAAAAAUAAAUAAAAGGAAAAUAAAACUAAUAAUAAUUAAUAAUAAUAAUAAUGAUAAUAAUAAUGAAAACAAUAAUAAAAUAAUUAACUAAAUAAUAAAAUUGCUAAACAAAGGCUAAAUCAAAAUAGAAACGAAAAUACUGGGCGAAUUUGAAAUAAAAAACCGAAAAGGAUUAAAUUGCUACACGCGCCGAAAGAGGAGGGACCAAAACGGUAAAUAAACCAAAGCCUCAAAACGCAGCGCUGCAACGGACUAAAAUGAAACAAAAAUAAAACUAUGUGGCUAAAUUAAAAUAAAAGAAAAUAACGAAAAAGGGCCAAAUUGCAACGCGCUGCAAAGUCAGAGGGACUGCGCGCAAAUAUCCCCUUUUGAAAAAACACGCUGAUCCUCCCCCCAGGGUCGGGUCAUCUCGCGGGUCAUGCCAAAACGACGCCAUUUUGGUGCCUGUAAGGCCUGCCCAAAACGGAGUCGUUUCAGGGGCCUAUAUAGGUAAAAAUAAACAAAAAAAAUCAUUUUAAAACCAUUUCAAAAAAAAAACUUUAGCCCCCUUUUUAUUUUCUCUCUAUCCCCUCUCCCUCCGGCCACGUUCCGGCCACUGACCACCGUGCCGGACUCCAGUCGCCGACGUCGGCACCGCCGUGCGCAGUGACCGGCGGGGGUAAAAAAUUUCCUUUUUUAGAUCUCGGCCCACUAAACUCAAAUCCGGCCUCAAAACACCCAAAAAAACAAAAGGCACGUAACAACUAUGGUGAGUUCCUCUUUUCCUUUUUUGUGUUUAUUCAUAUGUAAAAAAAACGAAAGAAAGAAUAAAAAUGAAAUAAAAAUAAAAAAACAAAAACAGUAAUGAACCUGUUCAAAGUUCUUUCUUUUAUUUUUUAUUCUAGUAAAAAAGAGAGAGCUUUACAAUCAGUUUUUGCUUGGCUUUUAUAGCCAUUUUACAAGUUUUUUUUUAUUUGCUUGCUUGUUGCUGUUUCUUUGUGUGCUUUCUUCUCAUUGUAGGUGGAGCAGGUGGCGUUGCAGGUGGUGGUGGCAGAGUUGGUGAUGGCAGAGGGUAAGUGGUGCGGCGCCUAGGGUUAGGGGGAUUAGGGUUUUCUAAAAUUUUUUAGUUUUUGGGCUGGGUUUUUAAUUUUUUUUGGGGCUGUUUUGAUUUGUUUUAUUUUCUCUGGUGGGCCGGGCAAAUUUGGGCUUCUACAGUUAGUAUCUGUCAAAACAUUUUUCCAAAUCUAACAUUAUGUGAAAGUAAAAUUAUUAAUUGAUAAAUUGUAUUAAUGGUUAGAAAAAUUAUCAAAUUAUAUAAAAUUAUUAAUUGUUAGUACUAGGAAAAAACAUUUUUCCAAAUCUAACAUUAUGUGAAAGUAAAAUUAUUAACUUAGUUUAGGGUUUUUAAUUAACUUAGUUUAGGGUUUUUAAGUUAAGGGUUAGGGUUUUUAAGUUAAGGGUUUAGGGUUUUUAAUUUAAUUAGGUUAGGGUUUUUAAUUUAAUUGUUAGAGUUUUUAAUUUAAUUGUUAGGGUUUUAAUUUAAUUAGGUUAGGGUUUUUAAGUUAAGGGUUAGGGUUUUUAAUUUAAUUAGGUUAGGGUUUUUAAGUUAAGGGUUAGGGUUUUUAAUUUAAUUAAAUAAUAUCAAAAUAUUCAAAAUAUUUGUACAAAUAAAUUUAAAUACGGCAAUCAAUGUCUAUGCCCGGGGGAUUCAGUGCCACAUGGUGGCCGUCGACGGUUAUGCGCUGGAUUCCUUCUUUCUCUAGCUUCCGGCGACGGUUGUUGCUCCUCCAGCAGGGAUUCUGGUCCUUCCGGUACGACAUCUAUUGUCGGACUUGGGAUGAUGAUCCACCUUCAAAGAAUAGUGUAUGUGGAGGUGUUUGCAUCACGAACGGCGACGGUGUUUGAAACUCAUACGUUGGUGGGGAUUGGUAAAAAGGAGAGCUCCCCGACGGCCCCUCUUGCGAUCCCUAGUGUGCCGCUGGCCUAUACAUCGGCGGUCCACUCAGCAUAACAAGAAAUGGAGCUGAACCGGGCAUUUGGCUCCAACCUGCCAUAGGACUCGGAAAAGGAUACAUAUAAGGGUAAGGAUACAUAUAAGGGCUAGGAAACGCACCUGACAUCAUCUGAAAAGACGAUUGCGUGGGUAUCAUCGACUGAACUGCUGCAUUGGGUGACUGUGUCGGUGCUCUCGCUGGGCCUGGUGAUUGCAUGGCCACUGAUGAUGAGCCGGGUGAAUGUCUGGGCCUCGUUGAGGGGCUACCUUCGUCGUCUUGUCGUCUUGGAUUUAGAGGCUCGAGCCUUUCCCUUUCGACACGUAUUUGUCGCUGUCUCUCCUCUGGCGUCAGUAAAUACAGCUUGCCAUGGAUCCUAAACCAUGGCAUGUAUUCUGGAACGCACGAUAACUCCGGAACGAUGAUUGGUUCUCGAGUAGGUAUAUAUUCAUACCGAUCUUCCCACAUUUCCAUGUACUCGGACCGAUAACUCAGCCAAUCCGUAUUCAAUUGCCAAAGGUCGACCUUGUGUUGAUUGUCAAACACCUCAGGAUCCACGGGAAUCGGUUGUCUACAUCUAAACUGUCGUAGCACUCUGUCUGACUGGUGCGGCUCCAUGGUUGCGUAGUUGAUCAACACGACUUUCACCUGCCAAGCUUGUGGAUUUUGUAAGAACUCUUCCGGGAUUACUGCCCGAAUUGCCAGAUCCUCAUAUGGUGUCCAUUGAAACUAUAUGAACAUGAUAGAAAUAUUAGUUAUAUACAUAAUACUAAAUACCAAAUACUAAAUACCAAUUGACUAGCGAAUGAUGGAAAUAUCAAUUUUAUUUAAUACUUACAUGUGCUUCCGACUGUUGGUCUAAUAGAAGCCGUAUAUCUUCAAGAGAGGUAGGUAAUCGAGCAUGACUUGCCGGAUGGUUCCACCUAAUUAAAUAAAAUUUUAGCAUACUUUUAUUUUUAAAAAUCUACAUAAUAAUUGUAAAAUCUAAUAUAAAAUUUACCUCGUUAUGAGUGGGAAUGUAUAUGGGUGGUCCACUCGAGGACGUAGAAAUGGAAAGCGAAAUCGUGCCCACGACUGUAGUAGUGAUAGGCAACCUCCAAUUUUUGCUCUCCUCGGUCGCGUCGCCCUGCACAUCUCCCGAUAUAACGUUGCCAAGACGGCAGACCCCCAACUCAAUUCACUGGCUACUCUAAAAUCGACGAGUUUCAGCAGUCAUCUUAGAUGUACGCGGCUCCCUGACGUGUCGGGCAUCAGAUAACCACCAAUUAUUUGAAGAAUGUAGGCCCGAGCAUAUUGGAUUCUUUCAAUUUCGGUUGAAUCUUCAUCCGGAUCAGGGAAUGUGUCACGUAACUAGCCCAUCUCAAUCUUACCUCCCUCCAUUUUCUCCGGAAUAGCGCCCAAAAGCUUGUAGCACACCGCCCCCCAAUCGCUAGAUUGGGCAGACCCGAUGACUGGGUACCCGUCCACCGGUAAUCCUAAUUGGAAACUGACAUCUUCUAGAGUGAUAGUGCACUCUCUACUUGGAAGAUGGAAUGUGUGCGUCUCGGGUCUCCACCUCUCGAUCAACGCACUGAUUAGUUUCGGGUACAACUUGCAUCCCCGGCCUACCGUCGCCACGUGCCAAAAACCUGCUUCCCGCAGGUAGUUCUCUACUAACGGUGAUGGAGGAGCAUGCAUAUUCUGGAUCUUGCAUUCCAAUACCCGAUCUACAGACUUUUAUAACAAAUAAUAAAUUAAUAAUUAUCUAAAAAUGCAUAAAUAAAAAAUUCUUAAAUAAUAUUUAAAAAUUAAAUUUCACACUUACCAUUUUCAUUUGUUCCACCGAUAUGUGAUGCUUAUCAAGACAAGUCAAUGAUCCAGCCAUUGAUGAAAUCGUACAAAUUUUUACGAAUUAUAAAAAAUAUAAAAUUAUUUUUAAAAAGGAAAUUGAGAGCAAAUUGAAAUUAAAUAUGGAUUUGAGAGAAUUUUGGAAGGAAAUUAAGAGAAAAUUGAAAUUAAAUAUGGAUUUGAGAGAAUUUUGGAAGGAAAUUGAGAGGAAAUACGAGAGAGCAUUAGUUUGUGAAAAAAUAAAAAGGGGUGGGGGUAUUUAUAGCUUUUUUUUACCGUUGGGGGGGCAACAGUCAAAUUUUUGACCGUUGGAGCAUUGUUCAUGCGCGGAGGAAAUCGCGGCCACGUCAGCGCGAUUUGCUGACAUGGCAUCAAAUCGUGUUCUAGAGGGCGCGAUUUGUUGCCAUGUCAGCAAAUCGCGCUGACGUGGCCGCAAUUUCCUGGCGCGUCCCCUGACAUCGCGCUGACGUGGACGCGAUUUGUCGAAAAAUGGAUCAUUCUGGUAAAUAAUUAAAUAAUGGGCCCAUUUCGGUAAUUUUUGAAAAAAAAGGGCUUAUAUUGGUAAUUUGCCCGUAAAAAUCAUCUGAAAAUAAGACGAAAUUCAAAGUACAACACCAAGUCUUCAUCAAGCAGUGUACAUGUCCAAAUUACUAUAUUGAUUAAUAAUAACAUUGAAUAAAUAACCUUCAAGAUUCAAUCCUUUAAGUUUUCUUUCUCCUUUAUUUACUUCCAUUUUAUAUAUGAUAUUUAGACUUAUUAAUGGGUUGAGUUAUUGAUCUAAACUUAAAAGAUUGUUUAAAUUUUGAAGGAGUUUUGGUAAAAAUAUUAAACCCUAAAAAUAGGACUAGACAAAAAAAAUUAAGUUUAUUUAAAAUAUGAGUUAAACUCAUAUAUGAACAUUCAAGGAUUGAACUAGGCUCGGCCCAUUUUUAAAAUUUGUAAUUUUUAUAUUAUAUUAUUUUUAUAUAUUAUGUAAUAUAUAAUACAAAAAUUAAAUUUAUAGUAAUAUAUAAUAUCGUAAAAAUUAAAAAAAACAUUAAGAUGAAUAUAUAUAUAAAAGUUUAAUAAAUAAAAUAUAUAAAUUAUUAAAUAGUAUUAAAAAUAAUAUAAAUAAUUUUAAAAAAUAAUUAUAUGGGUGGAUUUAAAAUGAAUUUGGGUUAACUAUUUAUAAGUAUGGAUGGGCUUAAACAAAUUUUAGGUACAUAUUUCAGACUGGGUUUGGUUUCUUGACAACCAGAAAAUGUGUUAACAACAUACUUAAAUCUAACCGAAACUCAACCCGACGCAUAGGGGAUUAUGUUUAAACAUCAAAUAAUAUUUGUGAAAUAUGAUUAAUUUUUAGAUAUUGCCUUAUGAGUAAAACUUUUUUAUUAGUUUGAAGAGUUGUGAGUUUAAUACUCUCUCAAAAUCGAUUCUUUAAUCAAUUUCCAAUUCAACCAAUUUAUCAGUCGAUCUAAUUCGGUUCAAACAACCCUAAUUAUAUGAAUUUCAAGCUGUUGAAGUUACAACUGAUAUUAAAAUAAAUCGGAACCUUCUCUAUCUCACCAAACUUACUCUAAACCAAGAGCAUAAAAAAUAAAAAAAUAAAAAUCCUCCUCUAAACCAUGCAGUGUUAGCAAUCGUAAGAUCUGUUAGUGAAACAUUGAGUAGAAACUAUAGAUGACAACAAGUGGGAACCCUCACCUUGUCAGAGAUCAUAGGAAGUAUUGAACUCUUAUAAUUAGAAUAAUCAAGUUCCACUGCAAAUAACGAUCAAAACCCACAAAAAUAAAAAUGCAUACCAUGAACAUGCAGCAGUUCAUAAUAUUCUUUGAAGUUUUAGACUCUUGACAAUAACCAGAAAAUUCAAACACAAACACAGUCUGUAUCUUCAGUUCAUAAACAUCCCAAUAAACCAUUGGGAUUCAAACACAAAACCAUCACACAAACACAUAUUGUCAGUAUCUUCAGUUCAUAAACAUCCCAAUAAACCAUUGACAUUCAAACACAACCAUCACACAAAUGCAUACUGGCAGUAUCUUCAGUUCAUAAACAUCCCAAUAAACCAUUGAGAUUGUAUUUCAAAGAAGCAAAUUACUCAACCCGUGGCUUUUUCGGCAAACUGGCUAGAUUCAGUUGGUUUUCUUUUAACCCAGCUUCGUCCUGAUCCAGCUUCAGUUUCUUUUCUUUUAAGUCAGCUUCGUCCUGAUCCAGCUUCAGUUUCUUCUCUUUUAAGUCAGCUCCAUCCUUCUCCAGCUUCAGUCUGUCUUUUCUAAUAUUAGCUUUCUUCUUCCACUACACCAAAACAGGGUUUUAGCGGCACUUUCUUAGGUCUAUAGUGGCGUUUUUUAGCGCCGUAAAUACUUUUAGCGGCGCUUCGCAAAGUGCCGCAAAGAUUGCUGCUAAUGACAGCGUCGGUAACUUUCGCGGCGCUUUCUAUGAUAAACGCCGCUAAAGAUCAGGAAUUUUAGCGGUGUUUUUUUUACAACGCCGCUAUAGACCAUGUUCUUUAGCGGCGCUUAAAUAAAAACACCACUAUAGACCGUGAUCUUUAGCGGCGCUUAAAAAAAACGCCACUAUAAACCGUGGUCUUUAGCGACGCUUACCAAAAAAUGCCACUAUAGACCAUGGUCUUUAGCGGUGCUUAACCAACAAACGCCACUACAGACCAUGGUCUUUAGCGGCGCUUAACCAACAAAUGCCACUACAGACCAUGGUCUUUAGCGGCGCUUAACCAACAAACGCCACUAUAGACCAUGGUCUUUAGCGGCGCUUAGGCGAAAAACGCCACUAUAGACCAUGGUCUUUCGCGGCGCUUAGGCGAAAAACGCCAAUAUAGACCAUGGUUUUUCGCGGCGCUUAGGAAAAAAACGCCACUAUAGACUGUGGUCUUUAGUGGCGCUGACCAAAAAAUGCCACUAUAGACCAUGGUCUUUAGUGGCGCUUAGGCGAAAAACGCCACUAUAGACCAUGGUCUUUCGCGGCGCUUAGGCGAAAAAUGCCACUAUAGACCAUUGUCUUUCGCGGCGCUUAGGAAAAAAAUGCCACUAUAGACCAUGGUCUUUAGUGGCGCUUAUGCAAAAAACGCCGCUAAUUUUGGUAGAUUUGGAAAGUUUUUUUUUUAUUUGCAGCCCUCCCGUAAAAACAAAUCAGAAGAAACCAAAUCUAAACCAACCAAAAGUAAUAAAUCUAUAUAAUAUUUAAAAUAAAUGUCAAUAAAUAAAAUAAAAUUCGUAUUAUUCUUACAAAAAUUGUAAAAGUUUAAAUGAUAAUACCAAAGUCAAAAUUGAAGUAUAUUUACACGAUAGUCUAAGACGACGGCGGUUGCGAUUGCUGAAACAUCUUCAUCAUAUUCUGAAGCUGCUGCUGGAGUUUAUCGAACUUUUUAAGUUGUUCUGCUUCCCUCGCCGCAGCCUCUACUUUACUCGCUUUAGCCUCUGCUUCUCUCGCUGCCGCAUCUGCUUUAAGCUGCUGCUGGAGUUCUUCAUGCUUUCGUUGAACCUCAACUUCUCUCGCUGCUGCCUCUGCUUCUCUCGCUGCCGCAUCUGCUUUAAGUUGUAGCUGGAGUUCUUCAUAUCUUUUUUGAACCUCAGCUUCUCUCGAUGUUGCCUCCGCUUUAAGUUGUGUAAUUUGCUCAGUUGUUGUCGCUUGCAUCUGAGAUAUCUGGUCUCUUAACCUCUAAACUUCAGCUUGGGCCUGACUCGCCGAACGCAUGUGUUGUUGCGAGCUGGAUCCAAAAUAUUGGGAUGGGUUAACAAAAGAUCCUUGAAAUCGAACCCGACCAUACCUUUCAGGACCCAAAACUUCAGUGAUAAUUCGGUUAUCAAUGUCGUCAAUAUGAACAGAACUAUCACUGGAAGUAAUCGCUUCGUACUCUACUUUUUUAUCCUUCAGUUUUUCCUAAAAAAUAAAUCACAUAGUUAAGAACGCAAUAUAUAUUAAAAAAACAAAUGCAACAUAACUUAACAAUAUUUGCAUUACAAGAAAUGAAAUAAACCAUUAGAAAAUAAACAGUAUAAAUAAUUAAAAUAAGUCAAACUGUAUUAAGCAAACGUACCAUAAUUUCUGCAGCUUCAGGAGUCAUAGGGUUUCCAUCUUUCUUCCUAUGUGUAAUGUUAAAAAGUUGAAGGCGUCCAACUUUUUGACCCGACAACACUUCCUACAAUACAAUAGUAAAAAUAUUAUUUGAUAGAAAGAAAUAAAUAUCUGCCAGUAUUAAAAAAUUCAAAAUACCUCGGCCUGAGCUACACACGCAAAACUUCUCGACCCAGCUGUGUGCGUGAAUUUUUGUUUCUGCCUACUACUUGNNNNNNNNNNNNNNNNNNNNNNNNNNNNNNNNNNNNNNNNNNNNNNNNNNNNNNNNNNNNNNNNNNNNNNNNNNNNNNNNNNNNNNNNNNNNNNNNNNNNUAAAUACUAUAAACCAAAAUAAUUACAAGAUUUUUGUAGUAACACAUACCUCUCAUUUCUUCGAAGUCCAAAAUCUAACGACCUCUUCCCACUGGUACCUUAGCAUUCCCGGCGGGACAUUUUGUAAUUUCUCGUCGAGUGUUGUUUUUGUCUUAAAAUAGUCUUUCUUUAAAGUGCUCUUAUGGUCUCUCCAUCUUUUUCCCAAUGCCUUCUUUACAUAAGCAUCGGAGACCUCUAGAGCAAAUCUCGCCUAAAAAAAACACAACUUAAGAAAGUAAAUGUAAACGAAACUUAAACCCAAGUAUUAUAAAUGACAUACACGUUUUUUUACCUUAAUGUUAUCGAGAGCUUGGUUCUUGUUACUCUCGGGCACUUUAUGCCAUGACUCGAAGUUAAUUGGCAACAUAUUUGCAUUCUGUGCUAGAAUGCCCAUGUAUCCUGCUAAAAGGCGAGCUUCUGAUCCAACAGGCUGACCAAAGCUAUUACUGGAUACUUGGACACGCUCGACUGGAUCUAGAUCGUAUAAAUCCCUCAGUAGCGUACGUCCGUGAACUCCUCGCGUCCCAGCAGUUUCAGCUAGAAAAUAAAAGUAUUGUAAUAUAAGAAAUUUAAAAAAUAAAAUAAAUAAUAUGUCAACACACAUGUAAGUUAAAUGUUAAAUUACUUUUAGCUUCUAUAGGUUCAAGUGUAACCGGAACGUUCAAAGAUCCAAUAGCAGUUUUUGUUCAGUGCUGUUUGUUUCGGUCGAGUUUGGAGUACCUUGAACAAUACGGUGCGCUCGCACGGGUCUUCUAGGCAUUUUAUCUACAAUAUAAAUAAAUUAGUGGAAAGCUUAAUAUACAAUUACAACAAUAAUAAUAUGUUUAAAAUAGUUUAAAUAUAUAAUAAGACCAAUAUUAUGAUAUGAUAUUACAUAUAAUUAAAUAAUCGUAAAAGCUUACUAUAUUAUAAUCCAUAAAUAUCUUCAUUCGUAUCCUGGCGGACCCAUUGACUGUGUGUACUAGUACUAGGGAUGUUUUCGUUUAAGUUUUGUUCUGGAAAUGGCAAAGUUUGUGUUCUGUCGUCAACGCCAUCUCUGCUUCCACUGCCCAUGUCAAACAAGUCCCUAGGGAUGUUACGAAGCACAACGUACCAACCCUCAUCAAUUGGAUCUUUUGAGUAAAAAACGUGUUUGGCUUGAGAAGGAAAUACGUACGGCUCAUCAAUCAAUUGUUGUCCGGUAUGAAUCAAUCGAGUGAAGUUCACCAUUGUGAAACCAAAUUGAUCUUGCUUAAUUCCACAACCAGUAUUAACAUCGGCCCAAUCACCUCGAAAUAAGACAACUUUCCAUUUUCCGUAGUAAUCCAACUCAAUUAUAUCAGUAAGAAGUCUGAAAUAUUCUACAUUUCCCUCGACAGGAUUGUUGUCCCUAGCACUAGCAUAACUAGUAACUGAGGAAUUAACAACUAUUCCACAAUUUUGCGUUCUCCUCAAUCUCUCGCGAUAUUUUGUAUGAAAUCUAAAUCCGUUUAUGAGGAACGCACUAUAUCUUUUAACCACCAGAUUUGGACCUUGAGAAAGCCAUUUGACUUCGUCGGUCACGUUCUUCCCACUCCAAACCUAUUGUAUGAUAAGUCAACUGAGUAAUUUCAAAUGUUAUGAGACAAGAUUAUAAUUAUAUGUUGAUGAAAGCUACAAUUGCAUACCGUUUCAGUUAACCAUUCAUGGAAAGAUUCUAUGAACAACUUAUUGAUGUCUCGAAGUUGUGUUUUUCGGGAGCGCGAACGAGAUCUCAGUAUUUGUUUGUACUCACUAUGUAAAAAAUAUGUUCAGCUUGUUAGAAGAUAAACAACUGAGGACUAAUUGAUGAAUAUCAAUCAAAUGGUUAAAAGAUAAAUAAUCUUACUUGCGUAAAGGUUCCAUUGAUUCGUGGUGAAACAGAACAUACCGAUGUGCUUGUACCCACGAAAAACCAUCUAAUUCUGCAAUUUCCACUUUGCCGAUUAGUUCUCCAAAACUUUGGAACAAAUAAGUAUCGGCCAAGUUAUGAUCUGUGAGUCCAGCAUUUCUAUUUGGUCUGCUCAACCUUGUUUCAACAUCAUCCAAAUAUUGCGAACAGAAGGUCAUACAUUCCUCUGCUAAGUAGGCUUCAGUAAUCGAUCCUUCUGGAUAACGCUUGUUGCGGUAGUAAGACAUUAAUUUGGAUAGGAACUUAAACACAAUAAAUAAUGUUAUGAAAAGUUGUACUUAAAGGCAUAUAGGGUUUACGGAAGGAGAGUUUUUAAAAUAAAUUAACACAUUUCUAUGGGAUACAUCCAUCGGUGAAAAACGGGUACGCCAAGAAUUGCUUCUCCCGGGAGGUGGUUUAUCAAGUGAACCAUAAUAGUGAAGAAGGAUGGUGGAAAGAUUUUCUCCAUGUUGCAUAAAGUCAAUGCGGCUCUAUCCUGUACCUUCUGAAGUUCUUGAACAUCCAAAAUGGCUUUCAUUAUAUUGGAUAGUUCAAUUAUACAGGACGUCACCUUCUUCGACAUACAACAUCGUAGAGCAACUGGCAGUAAAUCUUGCAUCAAGAUGUAAUAGUCAUGUGAUUUUAGCGAAUACAGUCUUCGAUCUUUAACACUAACACAUCGAGAUAUAUUUGAUGCAUACGCAUCUGGAACCUUUAUAUCCUUCAACACCGUACAGAACACUUCUUUCUCUGUCCUCGACAUCGAAAAAAUUGAAGGCGGCAACCGAUAUUUCCCAUUAGGAAGUGGACUCGGAUGAAGAUCAGGUCGAAUUCCCAUUUGGACUAAAUCAAGUCAACUCUGAAGAUUGUCUUUUGAUUUUCUAUCUACAUUCAAAAUUGUACCCACAAUGUUCUCGCAGACAUUUUUCUCAAUGUGCAUAACAUCAAGAUUGNNNNNNNNNNNNNNNNNNNNNNNNNNNNNNNNNNNNNNNNNNNNNNNNNNNNNNNNNNNNNNNNNNNNNNNNNNNNNNNNNNNNNNNNNNNNNNNNNNNNCCACAAGUCCGCCUCAUUGGGAUCAUCCUCUUCAUCGGAGUCAUCAUCAGCUUCAUCAUUUGAUCUUCUAUUUAUUUGCAUGUUUGUCGGGUGGUUCAUCUUUCCAUAACCGAAAUUUAUAUCUUUCAACAUGAACAAGAUAUCAGAUCCACUUGUCUGCGAAGGAGCUUCUCUGAACUCUUCGGUACCGUCAAAUACUGAACUCUGAAAUCUAAAUCUAUGAUUUUUCGGUAACCACCGACGAUGCCCCAUGUAAGAGAACUUUUUCCCAUUGUAUAACCAUUGCGAACAUGUUUGUACAGCACAACAAGGACACGCAUAACGACCCUUUGGACUCCAACCGGAUAAAUUGGCAUAAGCGGGGAAGUCAUUAAUGGUCCACAUCAAAGCUGCACGUAAAUUAAAGUUAUCCUUUCUCAGCACAUCGUAUGUCUCGACACCAGCCCGUAAUUGUUUUAACUCUUCAAUAAGUGGUUGUAAAUAAACGUCGAUAUCAUUCCCGGACCCUUUCUCUCCAGGGAUAAUCAUAGAUAAGAUAAGGGAAGAUUGCUUCAUGCAAAUCCACGGAGGCAGGUUGUAAGGAACAAGCACUACUGGCCAAGUACUGUACGCAGUGCUCAUGAUCUUGUAAGGAUUAAAUCCAUCGGAUGCUAGGCCAAGCCUCACACUCCUAAGAUCUCUUGCAAAGGUUGGAAAUUUAUUGUCGAAUGAUUUCCAAGCUAAAGAAUCUGCUGGAUGCCUUAAUAAUCCAUCAUCGAUUCAUCCAUCAUGGUGCCACGUCAUUGACUCCGCUGUCCUCGACGACAUGAAAAGCCUUUGAAGCCUUGGUAUCAGCGGAAAAUACCACAAAAUCUUGACCGGCUUCUUUCUUGGUUGUGCAUCAUUUUCAUCGUCGUUCCCGUCUUCUGUGUUUCUAUUUAUCCAACGGGAUUCGCCGCAUACAUGACAGCACUGUUGGUUUCUCCGAUCGCCCCAAUACAACAUGCAGUCGUUCGGGCAACUAUGGAUUUUGUUGUACCCAAGACCUAAGUCUUUUAUCAUUUUCUUCAUAUCUUUGCAUGACUGAGGGAUUUUUGCAAAUAGAAACAUUUCUCUCAAAAACUCUAGCAGCAUUGUCAAAGAGCACAAUGUACCAACCCUCCCAAACAUUUUAACUGGAAAAGACGAACGCAGAAAGCCAUUUUGGAGAAUUUUGAUCCCUCAUAUAGUUCUUCGUUCAUCUCAUUAAGAAGCGCAUAGAACUUCACCACUUCUCCAUUCGGCUCUUCAUGAGGUACACUUGUUCCCCGUUCAGUAAAAGCAUUUGCACCAGCAUUACAAUUAUCAGAUGCCACAAAGUCGGUCGGGAACGACUGAAAACCAUGACUGUGCAUAUUAAAUGCAUCCCGCAACAUACCUUUCAUGUCAUCCCCUCUAUCAGACUGAUGGUAAGCAGUACCAGGAUAAGAUACACCUAUUCUUGAAGAGGAAGUACUAGGCGGGCAUUCUCCAUGGAAAAACCAUUUUUUAUAACCUCGAACAAACCCAUCAACAACUAGAUGCUCGUAUACAACUUCACGAUAAUGCCAGUUUAUGUUGACACACUUGUUACAGGGGCAAAGAAUCAUGUUCUCUUGGCUUGCAUAUUGAAAUGCAAAAUUCAGAAAAGUUUGUACUCCAUUUCUAUAUUCGUUGCUUACCCUUGACAAAUACAUCCAAGACCGGUCCAUUGCUUAAUUAUUGCAAGUCUGAUUUUCAGCAGAAAUUACAAGGGUAAGUUGUUAACUUCAUUGGUAUUGUUUCACUAUCUAAGUUAUCAUAUGAUAUAUAUUAAUAAGUUAUGUCGUAUUAUAUAAGUUAUGUAUUAAAAAUGUAAAAGUAUUAAUAAGUUAUGUAAGUUAUGUAUCAUUUAUCCAUAAAUAUAUUAAUAAGUUAUGUCGUAUUAAUGUAAGUUAUGUAAUUUAUGUAUAAUAUUAAUGUAAGUUAUGUAAGUUGUAAGUUAUGUAAUUUAUGUAUAAUAUUAAUGUAAGUUAUGUAAGUUGUAAGUUAUGUAUAAUAUUAAUUAAUUAAGUUAUGUAAUUUAUGUAUAAUAUUAAUGUAAGUUAUGUAAUUUAUGUAUAAUAUUAAUGUAAGUUAUGUAAGUUGUAAGUUAUGUAUAAUAUUAAUUAAUUAAGUUAUGUAAUUUAUGUAUAAUAUUAAUGUGGCUUCUACGUCUCNNNNNNNNNNNNNNNNNNNNNNNNNNNNNNNNNNNNNNNNNNNNNNNNNNNNNNNNNNNNNNNNNNNNNNNNNNNNNNNNNNNNNNNNNNNNNNNNNNNNNNNNNNNNNNNNNNNNNNNNNNNNNNNNNNNNNNNNNNNNNNNNNNNNNNNNNNNNNNNNNNNNNNNNNNNNNNNNNNNNNNNNNNNNNNNNNNNNNNNNNNNNNNNNNNNNNNNNNNNNNNNNNNNNNNNNNNNNNNNNNNNNNNNNNNNNNNNNNNNNNNNNNNNNNNNNNNNNNNNNNNNNNNNNNNNNNNNNNNNNNNNNNUGUAUAUAAUGCUCAAAUUCUUCACUAAUAGUGCCAUCAAAGGAUAAUGACAAGACAUUUUUCUCAAUUUCCAUAAUUUAGUCAAAUGAUCCUCUUUCGAUUCCAAUUCCAACCAUUGUUGCUUAUAACCAUUGAGAUUGUAAACUUACCAACGCUAGACCACCUCCACAUGCAUUAAUCAAAUCCUAAAUUAUAUUUUAGAAGGGGCACCUCCAUAUGCAUUAAUCAAGCCCUAAAUUAUCUUUUGGAAGGGGAAUCGAAGCAAUCUACAAAAGGAUCGACUAUUCUAAAAGAUAAGCAAAGGAAUCCCAUUUCCAAUUGUCAUGAUUAUCUACCAUAUCGGAGACCNNNNNNNNNNNNNNNNNNNNNNNNNNNNNNNNNNNNNNNNNNNNNNNNNNNNNNNNNNNNNNNNNNNNNNNNNNNNNNNNNNNNNNNNNNNNNNNNNNNNGCUAGCUUCCAUAGUGCUUUUGCUAAUCAAAGGUCUUACAUUAAGCAGCUACCUUUCUAUUAACAUCGUCACACUUCUUCCAUUGUCUACUGACCAACUUAUAUUAGUUCGAAGCAUCUCUUGUACUUUCAUGAAUGAACCUCAAACUUAUAUUACAUUUUACCAUGUACUAAAAUGAGAAUGAGAUAUUAAACCAUAAUAUGUUGAUCGGAAAGGCAAAUGGGAGCACAUGGGAUAAGAAUUAGAGGACCCACAUGCAAAUAUGUCCUUAAAUUUGAAAGCUUUUUCAUGGGAACUUGAAGAAUAUGCAAAUUAUUAACAAAUUUUUCACUACAAGCCUGCAAAUCUAUUUCAGUGAAGGAGAGAAGGAGGAAAACCUGUCGACUGUUGUACCCUAGCGACGGCAGAGAACUGCGGUGGUACAGCACUGUGACGGUCGACGGUUGACGAGCGAGAACAGAAGGGUCGACGAGCAAUGUAGCAGAGAUGGUUGGGGCGCAGCAGCCUAGGGUUCUAGAAUUGGGGGAUUUUUGGGGGAAAAAUCGGGAGCAAUUUUGGGGAGAAAUUUGGGGGGAAUUUCGGCUAAGUGUUGGGAGUAAUUGGGAUGUAAGAGACGAUCUUUUGCGGUGUUUUUAACCUAUCGCCACUAAUGCUGUUAAUGUGGCAGAUAAAACGACACCGUUUAUUUAAAACCGGAAAGAAAUUUUGCGGCGUUUUCCACAUAGCACCGCUAAAUCCAACCUUUAGUGGCGUUUCGACACUUGCGCCGCAAAAGCCAUUCAAUUCUCAAACAAAACUACAUCGUUUUCACCAAAUCUUUAAUAACUUGUUGCGGCAGUUUUGCUAAGAACGCCGCGAAAACUCACAUCUUUUAUUUAUUUAUUUAUUUAUUACCUGUAUCUUUUAUUAACUGUAUCUUUUAAUUACUAAGUAUAAUUAAAGUUUAGCAAUCCUUUUGACAAUGAUAAUACAAUAAUAAUAAAAAUUUAUUAAUUAUUAAAACAAUUGUACACUACUAAAAGUUUACUUUUAUAUUCGUAAUUAACUUUUAAUAUUUUAGACUAAAUUGUUAUAAUUUUUUCUUUUGCUUUCUAGUUCUUAUUUAUUAUUAUACAAAUACAUAACGAAUUAAUCAAGUAUUAUAUUUCAUUACCAAGGAAUAUAUCAAUGAAUUCAAAAUUCCUACAUUUUUCCUAUAUAACACAUUUUAAUAAUAUAAAAGUAUUAAUUAAUUAAUUGUAUCAUUUAACAAGUCUCAAUUAAACCUUAAACCCUAAUUUAACCAUUCAAUAUACAUGCAUAUAUAAAGUUAUCUAUACAGUAUUACGACGUCGUUUUUUUCCUAUCUAACCCAGUUGCGGCGUUUAUACAUAAGCACCACAAAAUAUACAGUCAAUUGCGGUCGUUUCGACAUCAGUUAAAUUAAACUCCUGGCAUUUUCAACCCUAAACGCCACAACUAAAAUACGUAAAACGGCACCGUUUAUAUAUAAAACUUAAACUAUUUGCGGCGUUUUAGGGAAAGCGCCACUAAAGACAAUGCCAAACUACGCAGUUUCUUAACUCAUAAUACACUAUUGCGGCAUUUACAAAAAGCGCCACUAAAUGGAAACAACAAAACGGCGAUGUUUUGCUAACAUUUCAAUAAAAUUAACCGAUAUUUCAAUGAUUUCGUUUAAAUUAGAGAGAAAAUUUUAACUAAUAAUUACACAUUUUAAAAAGAAAAUACAUCAGUAUAUUUUUAUAUUGAAUAAAUAUAACUAUUUAUGUAUGCAAUAUGAAUAAAAUUUUAUUUUAAUUAUAUCAAUAAUUAUGUUACUAUUUUACAAGAUUAUCUGGAUCACACACGAUAAAAGUUAAUGUAUAAAAUAGUUGAACAAUAAAACAUUGUUCGUGUCUGCUUUUGGGAUUUAACCCAUUUUGAUAUAUUUUUUAAAAUAUUAAUUUAUAUUUACAUUAUUUUCAUUUAUAUUAAUCUAGAAUAUCUAUAAUUAAACACAAAAGCCCCAACCUGAAACCCUAAAAUCAUCAACCAUGUUAUUUAUCCGUAACCAUCAAACCCCAAACUAUAAACCACUAUACUGUAAGCCUUAAUUAAUUAAUCGUAAACCCUAAACCUCAAACUAUAUAAACCUUUACCCUAAACCACAAACCCCAAAUCAUAAAACUUAAACCCUAAACCCGUCAAUUAACCAUAAACCACCAAACCACAAAAUCCAAUCCACAAUAUAUCGUACGCAUGAACCGUAAAUCUUAAACCCUAAAUUAACCAUAAAAAUUAAACUCGUAAACCACAAACAACAACCACCAAAUCAUAAACUCUAAACCCUAAACUUGGCCACCCCUAAAGUCUAAACCGUAAGUCAUAAACCAUAAUCCUAAACCAUAUCUUUGAAAAUUCGGGUGCCCAAUGUGUUAGUUUAGUACAGAACAUAUAUUUUAUAUUAUUUAAUUAUUUAAUAUAGGUGUGCUACAACGUGGCAUGGAUCCCAGUAAAAUUAAAAUGUUAUUCUUUAAUUAGUUUUCAAAUAGUAGUAGAUAUAUAUCUUUAAACCUUAAACAUCAAACCUUCAAUCCCUACCCCCAAAAUAGAAAAUAGUAUAUAUACCAAAAACCCUAAAACUCUGUAGCAAAAAUAAUGGAAAAAUAAAUCCUAAAAUAAUGGAAAAAUAAAUUAAGUUUCUUGUGGCGUUUUUAAUCUAAAGCGCCACUAAAAAUUACUCUAUAGCGGCGUUUCCAAAUAAGCGCCGCUAAUUAAUCUAUACAUGAAGCCGUAACGAUGCGUUUUGGACAAAUUUUUUGCGGCGCUUAAGCAAAAGCGCCACUAAAAGCUGAUAUCUAGCGGCGUUUAUGGGUAAGCGCCACUAAAGGCACUAUAGCUCAAGACGAAACGUUGUGUUUCGCUUUCAAACUUUCCGGCGUUUUUCAGUUACACACCGCUAAUAUCAGGCUAUAGCGGCGUUUAUCACAAGCGCCACAAUUGGCUCUAUGCCUCAUUGCCAGACGCUGCGUUUUGGUUCAAAUAUUUUGUGGUGCUUGUUCUAUAGCGCCGCUAAUGAUGUGCUUCAGCGGCGUUUAUACAAAAGCGCCACUAAUUCUACCAUAACUCAAUAUUGUACGUUGCGUUUUGUUUAACAUUUUUUGCGGCACAUACAAAAAAACGCCGCUAAUUGCACUCUAUAAUGGCAUUUUCAUAAUGCGCCGCUACUGCCACUAUUCCUGAAUAUUGAACGAUGCGUUUUGUCAGCUUUCUUACGGCGUUUUUGUUUAAAAACGCCACUGAUGGUGCUCUUUUUGCGGCGUUUUGAUAGAAUCGCCGCUAUUGCUGGAUCUUUACCUGCGUUUUGUGAUUAACGCCGCGAAUGCCUGAUUUUUAGCGGCGUUUAAUCUACAAACGCCACAAAAAGCCGCUAAAUCCCGCUUUUGGUGUAGUGUUCUCAAAUCUCUUCUCCUCUGCUUGAUACUCCAUUUCAUAAGCACGAGCCUUCAUCAACUUAUUCAUGAUGUUUUGCACCAUUGCCUCCAUAGUUGUGAUGACUUUUAGCUCAAGUAUCUCUGGGUUACUUACUAUUUUAUGGUAAACUUCAUCUAGUGAGUUCAUAAUGAUCCUUUGAACAUCUGCAUGACUACAUAAAAAAAAUUGUUAUCAGUAUAAGGGUGCUUUUGAAAUGUCAGUGAGCACUUGAGUUCAUAAAUAUUGUAUACCCCUGGACAGUUGACAGCUUCAUAUCGUCUUGAUUUGCUCUGACAUCACCGCUGCCUUCAGUCAGAUCAUUGUAUAUCUUGUCGUCUAGAAAACAAAGUUAUUAAGUAGGAAACAUAAAGGAUAUUAAUAUUUACAAUUAACAAGUAAAAAGCUGAGGAUUUUAUAAGAUCAUUUAUCAACUUGCAGCAAUUACCUGACAGAAGAAAGUUUUCAAUAUCAAACAACGGCAGUGACAGAAGCUCCUGUAGAGAAAGAGAAUCAGAUCUGAUCCAAAAAUAAGCAAUUUGAAUUUAAAAAAUAUAUACAGGCCAAUACUUACUGGAUCAACAUUAAGCCCCUUUUCUAGUGAGUCUACUUCAUGAUAACCCUGCAAAUAAGGAGAGAAGUACACAACAUUAAGCCCCUUUUCCUACUCAGGACUUUGGUGUGUGUUUGACUAAUAUUUCUAUGAUUGCGUUUAUCUGUAUUUGAUUCCAAUUCAUUGAAAUCAUCCAUGUAUUCCUUGAAUGAACGUACAAUCUAAGACCCAUAAGAAAAAGGACAUAAAAGGAUCAUAAGACAUAAAAAUCCGAAUAUUUAAACUACAAAUAUUUCUGUCUGAUAACUAAUGUUCAGGUAGAAUAAUCUGAGUUCAACAAUUGCUUACAAAGAAAGUAACAAACAUUUCUGGCCAAUAUAUAUAUAUAUAUAUAUGUAACCCAGAGAAUUAAUAAAAAGAAGUGAUAUUUUUGGUUGUGUCACUUUAUAGUUUGCANNNNNNNNNNNNNNNNNNNNNNNNNNNNNNNNNNNNNNNNNNNNNNNNNNNNNNNNNNNNNNNNNNNNNNNNNNNNNNNNNNNNNNNNNNNNNNNNNNNNUGACAAGUUGUACUUAUAUGACAGUAGGAAUAGCUGAGAAGGGUUAAAAUUUUCAUUGGUUAAAAGAGAAUCUAUUAUUACAACAGAGAAUUAAACUUGAUUUUUGCAUCAUUUAUUGAAAGGAUUGAAUAGAAAACUAGUCGACAAUACAUGAUUGCCUAUUCAAGUCAUAAUUUGCUCAACAAAAAUCAAAAUUCGGUUCUAAGUGAAAAAAAAGAACAGAACAGAACAUGAGAGCCAAAAGACAAGUUAUUCUGUGUACACCUCCAGAAGACUGUGAUAUAGACGCUUUUAUUGCAAUAGGAGUUUUAGUUUUAUUUAUUUAUUAUAUCAGGUUUUAUUAAGAGUUUUAAUUUUACUUAUUUUUUCUAUUAUAUUAGGUUUUUAUUUUCAAGUUAAGAAUUCUACUAGGAUUCUUUCCUUCGUUAUUAACAGACUAUAAAAUGCUGCCAAUAUGAAAUAAAGAAAUAAGCAAUUAUUCUAUCAAAAAGAAACGAUAUUAUAAGAGGGGGUUCAGUUAAGGAUGAAUCUGUCUUUUGAGUAAUCAUAGGUCGAUGUAAGAAUUCUUUCUCGUCUAGACCUGUGACUAGAUUGCAAAGGGAGGGGGACAAACAACAAAACCAACGGGGAACAACGGCAAAAUAGGUUCUUCUGCACCAUUUAUUAAGAGACUGACACAGACAGAAAUGGCGGAAAGAAUGGCUAAGGGGUUGUGUUAUAAUUGUGAGGAGUCCUAUUCCAUGGGACACAAAUGUAAAAGGUUAUUUUGGAUAGAAGUACCAAAUGUUGAAGGCAAGCAAGAUGAUGAUGAGGUAGAUGAUUUUGGAUAAGUUCUGAAGUUUAUUCUGAAUUUGAGCUUGAGGACAAGCUCAACUCCAAGGAGGGGAGUAAUGAUAUGGACGCUUUUAUUACAAUAGGAGUUUUAGUUUUAUUUAUUUAUUAUAUCAGGUUUUACUAAGAGUUUUAGUUUUACUUAUUUUUUCUACUAUAUUAGAUUUUUAUUUUCUUCAUACACUCUAAUUUAGGAUUUCUAUUUGGACUCUUUCCUUUGUUAUUAACUGUCAAUAAAAGGUUGCCAAUUGAAAUAAAGAGAUAAGCAGUUAUUCUAUAAAAAAGAAACGUUAUUUUUGAGUAACCAUUGGUCGAGGCAAGAAUUCUUUCUCAACUAGACCUGUGACUAGAUCCUACGCCAAGGCGCAUAAGAGACAUUUUCUAAAUAAACUUACCACAUCAACCCUAAAAAUUUAAUAAUGCAAGAACAAAUUACCAAGAAAGAAAAGUCAUGCCGCUACUACUAAGUUACAGAGUCAUGUUUUCUACAAUAAUUUUCAUGAUAAAAGUAAAAUCUAAAGCUCCAUUGAUUAAAAUACUAAUGACAAAUUGGGUGCUUCUACUCAAAAUGUUUACCUGUAGAUUGAUGUGAAUCUUCGCACCUCUGGUACAAUCAGGGGUUAGAGGAAAAUGGAACAUAAACUGUUCAUCUUCCAUUUGCACAAGAUCUUGAAUACUAACAGGAUUUGUAAGCUUUUGGUUCUUAAUAUCUUGUAGCAUUACUAAAACAGAAGCCAAAACUUUGUUUACUAUUUUUUCCACUAUGCUAAAGAACUUAACCUCUGAGAUUAAUUCCUCUGUUUGGUCCACAAUAGCCUCUCCCUGCAAUGCUUUUACUGAAAUAUAAAGAAAGCAGAUAACAAAUUUUAAUUUAAAUGAUUAAAACAAAUCAAGAUUAAUAUAUUUAUAUAUGUAAAAAAGAGUUAUUAAAACAUGCCUAGGAUGUCUGUCUCUGGUAUUCCUUAAGCAGUCUCCAGAACAUCAACAACAAAUGGCAUUAAUCAACAUAAAAAUCGUACCUAUGAGUGAGAUUACGUGAGGAAGGUCCUUGCAAAUCUCAUCAGCACACUCUAUGUUCCGGACUGGAUUUGUUGACUGGUUCAAAAAUGAAUCAAGCUCUUGAAAUGCAUUUUCGAUGCUAAGACUGGAACUGGCAUUAUCGACAAUCCUGGGCUGCAUCAAAUUUUUCAAUCGUUGCAGUAAGAGUUGAGGGUCACGAAGCCGAUUCAUCCCUUCCACUACUAUCUCUUUCUUUUCUUCCCAUUUCCUCUACAUUCAAAAAAGUUACUAAAAGCAAUUAGAAACAUAAAUGAACUUGCACCCUCAGUUUUUUAGCUCAAUAUUCUUGAGUAAAAACAAAAGCACGAUAAUCUGAUACUUGUAGCAAAAAGUUGAACACACUCCUGGUAUUUGGAAAAAAAGAGUCAGAAAUUGCAGGAUUGACAUGUUACGUUGUAGUGGGAGUCGGAUUGGCAUGGAUUAGUUUGCUCUUUUUUCUUUCUUUUUUUUCAAAAUACAAAUUAUAAAAAGAGAGGAAAAGUCUCACAGCAGCUUGAUAUCUGUCAUCACCAUCCAAUAGCAUACGCAUCAAUUCUCCCACCAGCUCGUUACAGUCCUGCAUAUAUAUGGAGAGUAACUAUUAUUAAACAAACCCUAAACGAUAAAGAAAAUAGCUUAAUUGCAAGAAAGGAAAGAAAAUGAAUAGGUACCUUGAUUCUUUUACGACUGCGCUUAUCUUUAUCUGAUUCCAAUUCUAUGAAAUUCCCCAUAUAUUCCUUGAACGACGUACAAUCUGAGAAUCAAGCAAAAUGAUAUAAAAAUAUCUUACAAUAUUCUGUAAGUUCAAAUUUUCCUUUAAAAGCAAAAUAUAUUUCUAAAAAAAGCAAAGUCAAACUCGAUUCUAUCCAGUAGACCAGAGAAAAAUAUAAACCAAACCAGCAAAGAGCGAAGAGAAAUGGAGCUUAACAUUGCUUACGAUUGCAGAGUAGAGACUUCUUAUGCCGUCGCAGAAAUCUUUUAUCAUUUUUUCCUCAAGACUUUUAUUUCUGAUGCAUUCGCACGAUCGUGCGAAUUUCGCUUUUCUGAAUUAUUCGAAAAAAUAUUAAAAAGAAAUUGAUUAAAUCCCAAAUUUUGAAAAAGUAGUCUAUUUUCCAUUUGUGUGUUCACAAUAAUCUACAUUUACUGUUGAAGUUAUCAAUAAUUCUCGUUUCUCCCGUUUGAGAAAAAUUAAGUUGAUACGUUUGCAGGGGUAUUGCCAAGGGUGUGUUAGCAAAUGUCUGUUCCUUUAAAGAAAAAAAAUUAAAUUACUCAACUCUCGAUAAUAAUAAAAAAUUCACUAAACUAUAAAAAGUUACAUUUUAAUCACUAAUGUUUUUUUAAUGAAAAAAUAAUAAAUAGAAAUUCAAGUAUCAACUAUUGAAAGACUCUAAAGGUUUUUGUCUCGUUAGAUAGCCGUAACCACCGAAUUAAGAGGUGCUUCAAAUAUCUGAAGGGAGGUCUGCCAAGAGAGACUAAUCUUUGCCAAUUGAUUUGCAAUUAAAUUACACUCCCUAGGAACAUACUUAAUUUUCCAUUGAUCUUCAAAACGUAAAAUACAUUUAACUCUUCUAAGCAAGGUAAUACCGGAGUCCACCGACUCCUCCAUAGACAAGGCACUAACCACCUCAAGGUUAUCUGUCUAAAUCUUGACUUUCUUGUAGCCCUUAUUUAAUAAAAUGAGAAUUCUGUCAAGAAUACCCCAAAGUUCUACCUCCAAAGGUGAACAUCUACCCAAAUAAUGAUUAAAGCCCAAAAUCCAAUUGUCAACCUAAUCACGAACCACCCACCCACGGAUGCAUUUUCGAAAGCUCUAGCCACUCCUCCAUCAAAAAAUAAAUAAACCCAAUUGCCUUUAUAAUGGGAAUGAAUUUCCGAAUUUGGUGAAUUAGGCUUGGCCUCAUUUAGAAAAGGUUCAAAUUGUUUGGCCCAAUUGAGAGAGACUUUUACAAUUUCAUAAGUCGUCCAGUUAAUGUUUUGGAAGAUGAAAAGAUUCAUGUUCUUCCAAAUUCUCCAAGCAAUUAAUCCAAAUAAGCUUGACCAAGUAAUUUCCUUAUCCUGCAUCUUAAAAUGGCAACAAAGGUUAGUGGAAAACCAACUUUGAAGGGAAUCAAAAAAAAAAAACCUGGAUUGCAUCUUAGGAAGGACUACAAGCUUCCAUGCUUCCUUAGCCGUCAAACAGUCUUGGAGUACAUGCAUAAUGUCCUUAGUAUUAUGACCACAUAAAGAGCACGCAGUGUUUUGCUCAAUUCCUCUCUUAACGCUCUCUAAAUUAGUAAGAAGUCUAUGUUUGAACACAAACCAAAGAAAAAGAUGAACUCUCUGUGGGCUUUGAUAUUUCCAAAUAGACUUUCAACUAUCAUCUUUAGGACUCCAAGAAUCUUCUUUUAAAGCCCAGUAAGCAUUACGAACAGAAAAAGACUCUCAAUCAGAUCGAGCCAAAUGAUCCCAUCCUCUCCACCAAUACAGUGAGAAGGGGGGAUACUUACUAUACACUUUAUCACGUCAUUAGGUAGCCAAAUACGAAGCAAAUUAACUUUCCAAGAACCAUCAAGAAGAACCCAAUCCCUCAAAGUGCUCUCCAAACCUAUGCUUGCAUGAGCUAGAACAUAAGAAAAAAAGAGGACCAACUUCUAGGAUCCAAGAAUCUUUCCAACAACGAAUUAGAGCCAUCACCUACAGACCACAUAAGAUUCUCACAAAAAAAUGGGUCACACCUUAGAAAGGGAACUCCAAAGAUGAGAGCAUUGAUUUUUGUGGAUAGAAUUUGGAAGCUGAUUCUUCCACCCAUAUUUCGAACAAAGGACACGAACUCAUAAAGCACCCUUUAUAAAGACUAGAUUGAACCCAAUCUUCAUAAGUAAGGAAUUAUUUUGGUCUUGGAGGUGCCGAAACCCGAGGCCCCCUCAAGACUUAGGUUGACAAAUGGACUCCCAACCUUCUAAAGUUGUUUUUGGAUGCCCAGCAGAACCACCCUAAAUGAACUAUCUUGCUAUCCUCUCUAUCUCAUCACACACCUUUCGAGAUUAACAAGGACUGCAUAAAGUAGUUUGAAAUAGCUAAGAGAACUGACUGGGCAAGAAUGAUAACUGAUUGGGCAAGAGUGACAUGUCCCGCAAAGGAGAGUUUCCUAACAUCCCAAUUUUGAGUUAUAGUGACUUGGUACAUUAACCCAAAAGAUAUUAUCUAAUUUGACCUUGACCUCUAGUUAAAAUAUUCAAUUUCAUCCUUUCGCAACCUUUUUUAACGAUAAUUCUAAAAAAAUUAUUUAAAUUUUCAAAAAAUUAUUUAUUUUCUAAAUAUAAAUAUUCACUAAAUUAUAUUUAUCUUUUACGGGUUUUUUAUGCAAAGGUUAAUGUUGUAGUAGCUAGGGAUGUUCAUAGUUCAGUUAAAACCGAAUCAAUCGUUUUAACCAGUCUAAUUCGAUUAAUCAACCAAUGGUCGAAUUUAGUUCAAUCGAAAGUCAGUUAAUGAUUUUUUAAAAUUUCAGUUAUCAGUUAAUUCAAUUCAAAAUCAAAUAAUUAAUCGAAAUAAAUAAUAUAUAUUAUAUAUAAUUAUUAACUUUAAAGAUUUAUGUAAUGUUUUUACAGUUUUAUUUAUUACUUUCAACCCCAUUUAAAAGCUUUUGAACUAUUAAAAGAAAUGACCAUUAGCACUAUAUUCUUAUUAUUUUUUAUACUUAUUUUAAUCAAAAGAUAAAAAAUAUAUAUUUCAAUUAACCGACCAAAUUAACCAAAAUUUUUCAAUUCGAUUAAUGUACUUGAAAAAACUUAAAUUCAGUUCAUGGUUAAAACUUUUUACAUUUCAAGUAAUUCGGUUCAAAUAUUAAUCGAACCAACCGUUUGAACAAUGCAAUCGAUACACUUAUUGAAUGCUUUUAACGGCACCGAUUAAAUUAUCCAACGAAUUCUACAAGAAUAAAUUUAGAAUUGAAUUGGAGUUUGUUCGUAUAUGAAAUACGCACAAAGUCCAUGUAAACCAUUCUUGGCAAAGCCAAUCCUUGAAUAUCCUCUUGUAGCACUUGAGCAGGUCCUGCUGGCGGCACACUAAAAAUUUGCAUGCCAACAUUCUGGUUUGAAGAAAGACAGAGCAUCAGCUAGCCGAUUCGCUUCCCUAUGCACAUUCUGAAUUGAAGUCAGCAAAGCCAAACCAUUCUUCCAAGUUGUAAAAACUCCUG
This 87937-nucleotide long non-coding RNA is filed under the name Gossypium raimondii (Peruvian cotton). RNAcentral's name for it is "long non-coding RNA (GRAI_LNC002435)". The stretch from base 67365 to 67451 matches the Rfam family "MIR7486 microRNA precursor family". The record is from RNAcentral. Lineage: Eukaryota; Viridiplantae; Streptophyta; Magnoliopsida; Malvales; Malvaceae.